Molecule: long non-coding RNA, 61306 nt
Filed under: Gossypium barbadense (sea-island cotton)
Lineage: Eukaryota; Viridiplantae; Streptophyta; Magnoliopsida; Malvales; Malvaceae
Description: long non-coding RNA (GBAR_LNC021270)
Source: RNAcentral
CCUCUUCCUAUUUCCUUUUUCCCUUGCCUUCUUCUCAUUCCCGCUAUCUGUUUUACCAUUUGUCAUGCCAAUUCCAACCUACUUUGCAUUCAGAGUGAGAGAGAAGCUCUUUUGAAAUUCAAGAAUCAUCUUAUUGAUCCUUCAAACAGGCUAUCGUCAUGGGUUGAAGGUGGGGAUUGCUGUGAAUGGACUGGUGUCGUCUGCCAUAACUCAACAGGCCACGUCAACCAACUGCACUUGGCCGCUCCUCUUUCAGAGCCUGAUGGCUUGGCAACAAAUGCUGAAUGGGAAGCUUACAACAAUUCCCUGCUAGGAGGCAAAAUAAAUCCUUCACUGCUGGAGUUGAAGCAUCUCAGUUCCCUGGACUUGAGCAAUAACAAUUUUAGCACCAUACAUAUCCCGAAAUUUUUCGGUUUGCUGGAGAGUUUAACAUAUCUUAACCUUUCUCGAGCACAAUUUCAGGGAGCAAUUCCUCAUAACCUGGGGAAUCUUUCAAAGUUGCAGUAUCUUGAUCUUCGAGGUAAUGGAGUGAGAAAUAUUGAAGCAACAAGUCUUCAAUGGGUUUCUGGACUUUCUUCCUUGCAGUACCUUGAUUUGAGCUACGCGAAUCUUUCUAAAGCAACUGAUUGGCUACAGGUAACAUUUAAACAUCCUUCUCUGCUAGAGUUGCACUUGUCAGCUUGCAUUUUGAAAGAUGAUCCAUAUUUGAUCAGUGUUAAUUCUUCAAAAUCACUGGCUGUUCUUGAUCUUUCUGGGAACAGCUUAUCUUCAGUACCUAAGUGGAUAUUUAGUCUUCAUGGUCUUGUGUCCAUUGAUCUUGGUAGCACUUAUUUGGAAGGCCCAAUUCCAGAUUACUUUGGGAACAUCUCGUUUCUUGAAGUUCUUGAUCUUAAUUGGAAUAAUCUCAAUUCGUCCAUACCCAAUUCCUUGUAUAGUUUAAACCGUCUUCAGUUCCUUAGUCUUGGCUAUAACCAGUUACAAGGAACAAUCUCGAGUGCCAUUGGAAACUUGAGCUCUGUUACUCACCUUGAUCUUUCAGUAAAUCAAUUAAAUGGUCAAAUUCCAUUGUCUAUAGGGGAGUUAUCAUCUCUGAAGUUGUUUGAUGUUUCAGAAAAUCAGUUAAACGGCCAAAUUCCCUUGUCUAUAGGGUAUUUGUCAUCCUUGGAGGAGAUUGAUGUUUCAGAAAACCAAUUAAAUGGUCAAAUUCCAUUGUCUAUAGGGGAGUUAUCAUCUUUGAAGUUGUUUGAUGUUUCAAAAAACCAGUUAAACGGCCAAAUUCCCUUGUCUAUAGGGCAGUUGUCAUCCUUGGAGGAGUUUGAUGUUUCAGAAAACCAAUUAAAUGGUCAAAUUCCAUUGUCUAUAGGGGAGUUAUCAUCUUUGAAGUUGUUUGAUGUUUCAAAAAAUCAGUUAAACGGCCAAAUUCCCUUGUCUAUAGGGCAGUUGUCAUCCUUGAAGGAGUUUGAUGUUUCAGAAAACCAAUUAAAUGGUCAAAUUCCAUUGUCUAUAGGGCAGUUAUCAUCUUUGGUGGUAUUUGAUGUUUCAGAAAAUCAAUUAAAUGGUACUUUUCCUCUAUCUUUUGGACGACUAGAAAGUUUGGAAAUUCUGGAUUGUGGGUAUAAUCUAUUAGAAGGAGUUGUAUCAGAAACCCAUUUUUCUAAUCUCACGAGAUUGACAACUCUGAAGGCAUCACACAAUCGGCUUAGAUUUGAACCAAACUCAAGCUGGAUUCCCCCAUUUCAAUGUGAAAGGAUCGAAUUGGGUCACUGGCAUCUUGGCCCAAAGUUUCCCCAGUGGUUAAAAUUCCAAAAGAAAUUGUCUUAUUUGGAUAUCUCCUAUGCAGGAAUUUCAGAUGUCAUGCCCACUUGGUUUUUGAACCUUCCCACUCAAUUUGAAUCUUUAAACCUUUCCUCGAAUCAACUUAGAGGAGAGAUUUCAUAUUUGAAUGUGAGAAGCUCUGUUGAUUUGAGUUCAAACCGAUUCAUAGGACCAUUGCCAACAGUAUUCCCAACUUUACAACUUCUAAUUUUAUCAAAUAAUUCAUUUUCGGGAUCUCUUUUUGAAUUAGUUUGUAAUUCAUCAAGUGGGGAUUUUCUGGAAGUUCUUUACAUUGAUAAAAAUCUUAUCUCAGGAGAUAUUCCAGAUUGUUGGAAUCAUUGGUCCUAUUUGUUCCUUUUAAAUUUGGGAAGCAACAAUUUGACCGGCAAAAUCCCACCUUCUUUAUGGCAUCUAAAUCUUACAAUGCUAAACCUUCGAAACAAUACAAUGUUUGGAGAAUUGCCAUCCACAUUGCAAAAUUCUCCAAUUUUGGUUAUGUUUGAUCUUAGUGAAAAUCACUUCAGUGGAAAUGUACCAGCAUGGAUUGGUGAUAAGCUCCACCUUGAGAUUCUAAGCCUUCGAUCAAAUAACUUUGAUGGGCAUAUUCCUCAUAAAAUUUGUGAUCUUCAAUUUCUUCAAAACUUGGACCUUGCCCACAACAACAUUUCUGGAGUUAUUCCAAAAUGUUUUAAUAAUUUAAGUGCAAUGGCCACACCAAACAAAACCAAUAAUUUUGUUCAUGCGGGGUAUGAAUAUGCUGCCUCAAUUUUUUUAAACGCAUUAUUGGUGUUGAAAGGACGAGAGGAUGAAUAUGGUAGCACACUAGGACUUGUUACGAGCAUGGACCUUUCAGCUAACAGUCUCACAGGAGAGAUCCCCAAAGAAAUUGGUAGUCUCGUUGGACUAUUGUCUUUAAAUUUUUCAGGGAAUCUCCUAACAGGAAAUAUACCAGACAGCAUUGGCAGCAUGGAGUUAAUGGAAUCUCUUGAUUUGUCCAUGAAUCGACUAAAUGGUGAAAUCCCUCCAAGUUUCUCCAAUUUGAAUUUCUUGAAUCACUUCAAUGUGUCCUACAACAACUUGACAGGACAAAUCCCAACAAGCACUCAGCUUCAAAGCUUUGAAAACUUGUCUUACGUGGGCAAUCAUCUUUGCGGACCUCCUCUCACUAAGAACUGCACCUCAAAUGGUAUUCCAAUUGACGUUGCAAAUAAUGGAAGUAGCAGGGAAGGAAGUAAAGUGAAUUGGCUUUAUGUCAGCAUAGUUCUCGGCUUUGUAACGGGAUUUUGGGGUGUAGUGGCUCCCUUAUUUUUCAUCAGGUCUUGGAGGCAUGCAUACUAUCGAAAGUUGGACCAUGUUGGACGAAAGCUGUAUGUGUCUUGGGCUACUAUGGGUAUGUAGUUUGAUGGGAAAAAAACAUGUGUAAACAUGUUGGUCUAAAGUUGGUAUAAUUUACUGGAGAUUGGAUCAAAGUGUGUUUUGAUUAUGUAUGAAUAGGUUUUGUUGUAUUUCAAUAAUAUACAAUGAAAAUAAAUUUCAGCAAAAAAUGUUGUUUGAUAAAUUCCAUCAGUUGCUUAGCUUAAUAAUUGAGUAGACGUGGCAGCCAUAGAUCUGGUCUUCUUCCUCCUUGAUCCUUCAAAUUAGGAGUAACAAAAAUAGUAGUAAAUAGGAUUAGCCUAUUUUUUUUCUGUCAUUUUCUAAUUGUUGCCAAUGGAUCUCAACAAAAAAAGAGUUCAGCUGUUGCUCUUCAUCCUUGGACUCACCCUUCUCAGUAAGACAGGUAACAACCUCAAAACGUUCUCGUUUUUGCAUUUGAUCUGGAAAAUAAAAGAAGUCGUAAAUGUUGGAAUUUAAAUCUCCAAGUUAAUUUCAAGUUUGUAAAAUUUAAUGUACUUGAUUGUUCUCUCUUCUUUGUUAACUUAUGGAUCAAAUUGGUAUACCUGUUUAGAGUUAUUUAGAUUUUUUAUUUUAAGGUAUAUAUUUGGAAUCAGCACAUUCAAACAUGAAAAUGAGCAUAGAAUCUUUCAAAAAUAUUCAAAAUAAUUUAUAAAAGUUUUAAUAUACUCGUGUGAAAUAUAUACCCGACAAAAAUCCUUUCAAGUUAUCGAGAUUCCAUCCACCCCAGUCAUAUAUGGUGGUUUUUUAAUUGCUUUUAAAAAUUAAGUUUGAAGCAAGGUGAAUCGAGUUUUUAACAAGGGUUACGUGUAGCUAGGGGCAGGCACCUAGAAAAUUUUCUAUUUAUAUCUUUUAAAAUUUUUUAAAUUUUAAAUUAGUAAAAGUAAAAUUUCACUUUGGUCUCUUUAGAAAAUGAUAAAAUUUUGAUUUAAUCUUUUAAAAAUUAUAAAGAUAUAAGCUAUUAAAACGGUGAAAUUAUAUUUUUACUAUAGUAAAAACUACAAUUUAAUUUCAGAAUUUUCCUACAAAAUAUUUCUGGCGCCCUAAUUUUUAAAUAGAAAAUAAACCUGAGAUUGGGAUUUAUUCCAUAGACUUAGUUGAUUUCGAACUAGUGUUUUUAAGAAAAAAUCUUAAUUAACAUUUUUAAAAUUAAUUUUAUUGUUACAAGACUAUGGAAGUGGAUAUAUUCUUUUAAUUUCAAAUGUUACACCAUUAAAUUUAAUAGAAUAAUUUUAGUGGCAAUAACUAUUUGACUUGAAUUUUUAAAUUAAAAAAAUGUAGGGAUUAAAUUUUUAAAAAUAAAAGUAAGAGACUAAAAUCUAAAUAUAUAAAAUGUAUAGUGAUUUAUAGCAUACUUUAACCUUUAAAUUUUUAUUUUAUAAUUUAAUAUAAAUAAAUAAUUAAUUUAAUAAGGAGGUCGGAAGCUACAGUAAUGUAUAUAUAAAAGUUUUAUUUUACUCUUAAGAAAAAGUUUGAGAAUUAAAUAAAGCAGAGUAAAGGAUGAAUUGAUUGAUUUUGAAUAAAUGUUGAAAAAUCAUAAUGCAAGAAGUAGUAAUGGUUUUCAAAAUUUUGCUUAAUACUAACCAAACAUAUACAAAACUUCCUUUUGGUUUUUAAGACCUAAAAAGUCUUAAAGAACGUGGGAGUGGGACUUAGGGUGGGUUUGGAUGGGCGAUUAGGUGCGGUGCGGUACGUUUAAUUUACUUUUUAUCUCACGCUACAGUAUCGCUACAGUGUCUAAUUUCACAGCCACCGCUGUUUUUACACUAACCGCAGGUAAACGCACCGUCCAUCCAAACUCACCCUUACUCCAUAGACUUAGUUUUCAAACUUUUAUGUCCAUUUGUGGUUUUAAACUUAUCGACCUUAAAUUAAAUUUUAAUUUGGUUGAUAUUGAUUUCAUUGUCAAUGAAAGAGGAUAUAGACUUAAGCGUACUUAAAUGCGUUUUCAGAAACAAGGUUUGAAAAAUAUUUAAUACACUAUGUAUUUAAGGUAUAAUAAUUUUUUAGAAAAAUGGAACACAAAUUUAUAAUAUGGGGUCUUAUAAUAUAUUAUAUAUUAAUUUGAUUCAUUUAAAGUUUUAUUUUUCUACAAGAAUUAAGUUCAUGAUAAUAAGAAAAGAAAGUUCAACUUUUAUUUAUUAAUAAAAUUUAUAUUCCCUUUGAAAUAAAAUUCAAUUAUUUUUUAAUUUUUAUUUUAACUUUUCAUUUUGUUUUAAUUUUUAAAUUAUUUGCUAAUAUGAGAUAUGAGAUAAAAUAGUACUACAUUAGCAUAAAGUACAUAUAAAUUGUUGUAACACCCUAAAUAAUUUAUUUUUGUUUCUGUGAAUUUUAAUAUAAAUGUGUAUUUGUUUAAGUGGUUAAAUGUUUUGGGUGUGUGUAUGAGGCAUUGGGUUCAAAACUUGGACCUUGCCCACAACAACAUUUCUGGAGUUAUUCCAAAAUGUUUUAAUAAUUUAACAGCAACGGCCACAACAAACAAAGCCAGUAAUUUUGUUUUUGAGGUGUUUAGAUAUGCUGACUCAUUUUUUUUUGAACGCAUUAUUGGUGUUUAAAGGACGAGAGGAUGAAUAUGGUAGCACACUAGGACUUGUUACAAGCAUGGACCUUUCAGCUAACAGUCUCACAGGAGAGAUCCCCAAAGAAAUUGGUAGCCUUGUUGGACUAUUGUCUUUAAAUUUUUCAGGGAAUCUCCUAACAGGAAAUAUACUAGACAACAUUGGCAAGAUGAAGUUAAUGGAAUCUCUUGAUUUGUCCAUGAAUCGACUAAAUGGUGAAAUCCCUCCAAGUUUCUCCAAGUUGAAUUUCUUGAAUCAUUUCAAUGUGUCCUACAACAACUUGACGGGACAAAUCCCAACAAGCACUCAGCUUCAAAGCUUUGAAAACUUGUCUUACGUGGGCAAUCAUCUUUGGGGACCUCCUCUCACUAAGAACUGCACCUCAAAAGGUAUUCCAAUUGACGCUGCAAAUAAUGGAAGUAGCAGGGAAGGAAGUAAAGUGAAUUGGCUUUAUGUCAGCAUAGUUCUCGGCUUUGUAACGGGAUUUUGGGGUGUAGUGGCUCCCUUGUUUUUCAUCAGGUCUUGGAGGCAUGCAUACUAUCGAAAGUUGGACCAUGUUGGUCGAAAGCUGUAUGUGUCUUGGGCCACUAUGGGUAUGUAGUUUGAUAGGAAAAAAAAACGCAUUUAUAAUUGAUGCAUUUGAGCUAGGUGUGUUGCUACAAGAUUGUUUGAUUUGAAAGAUUAGUUUUUGCGUCUAUCAACUCGCUUGGUGUGCCAACAAAACGGCCCACUCGGUUGCAUGAGCGGUUUUAUUAUAUGCAAACCACAUAUAAUAGGAUGUUCUUUCCCUUGCAUCUUUCUUGAAGAAUGUUAAAAUUAUGUCUUAUUUUGUCUUAUGUUGAUACGAAUGCAAAUUGUGGAUGGUAGAUUUGGGUGUAUGGGGUGAGCCUGUUGGCUCGGGUUUAGUAGUCCAUCUCAUCUUUGUGUUCACUUUUGCUUUUUUAUUUUCUCAUUAAUGAAUUUCUUCUCUAAAAUAAUAGUAAUUUUAGACACGUAUAAAAGCAUAAGUGUAAAUUACACCCAAGGUCACUAUAAAAUAGGUUUGUCCUAUUUUGGUCACUCUAGCUAAUUUUUUUCUCAAUUUAGUCACUCUAUUUAAUGUUAUUGUUUGAACUAGUUAAUAUCGUUAAAAAUUCUAUUAAUCCAUUAAUGGAUUGUUGUUGUGACACAUUAGCCAAUUGAAUUAUGACACGUGGCACCAGGGGCGGAGCCAAGGGGUUGGUAAUGGCUUUAGCUCCCUAAAAAGAUUUUCCAUUUAGGCCCCUUUAUUGUUUAUAAAAUUUUCAAUUACUAAUGGUAAAAUUACACUUUGGUACCUCCAAAAAUAAUAAAAUUUUGAUUUAAUUGGUCAUAAAGGUCGAUUUUUUGAAAAUUUAGAGAAAUAAGUUGUUUUUAGAGAGAGUGUAUAAAAGCGCGACCAACUGGACGCUCUUUCUGCAGAAGUGGCAAGAAAGCUUAUCUAGCUAGGCGAGCUUUUCUGCUGACAUGUCAGGAAAAAUGUGCCAAGCUGGACGCAUUUUCAUUGAAAUUUUCAAAAAACGUUUUCAACUUAGCGCACUUUCCUUGACAUGUCAAUAGAAAGCUCGCCCAACUGGUCGGGUUUUCACAUACUCUCUCCAAAAACGAUCGAUUUCCCUAGAUUUAAAAAAAAGAGAGUCCUAUUUAGUCAAUUAACAAACUUUUUUGGCAUAUAUGGCUAAUUUGGCCUACAAUUAAGGGUUUAAUUUAUGAUCACAUUAUAUAUUAUUAAGGCUCUGCUCUUCGAUAAUGUGGUCAUUAGGUCUAAUUGUUUGGCUGUUAUGACUGCUUGGACUCCGCCAAUAAUUGAUGGAUCUGGGCUAGGUGUAUUGUUACAGGAUUGUUUUGUGCUGAAAGAUUAGUUUAAGCAUCUGUCUUUUUUUUUUGGACUAGUCGGUGUGCCAACAAGACAACCCACUUAUUUGUGUGAGCAGCUUUCUUAUAUGCAAACCAUAUGAAAUGGGAUGUUUUUUCCCUUGCAAGUAUACCAUAUGUUGAUAUAAAUGAGGAUUACGGACAGUAGGUUCAAGUUUAUAGCGUGAGCCUAUUGGCUCAGGUUUAGUAAUUUGUCUCCUCCUUGCGUUGGCUUGUGUUUUGUGACUUUCUCAUUAAUAAAUUUCUUCUCUAAAAAUAAAUAGUAAUUUUAGACACACAUAAAAGUAUAAGGCUAAACUCACAUAUUUAUUAACUUCUUGUUUUGUGAAAUAUAUAUAUCACGGUAAGUACGUAAUGUUUCAAAUUUAAAUCAAUGCACAGUAGUUUAUAUUUUAUUUCAAUCAAAAUUUUAAUAAGUUUCAUAUUCAACUCAUUUCAAUCAAUACCAGUGUACCAAUCAGUACCAAUUGAUACAUUCAAAAUUUGGACAUUUUAAACUAAUUUCUAAUUUUUUUGUAAAAACCAUUUUAAUUUUACCAUAAUUACAUUUUAAUUUUAAAACAUACAUUAACAUAUAAAUAUAUUUAUAUGGAUAUAAUUAAGAUAUAUUUGCAUGUAUAUAUAUUGUAUAAUUAAUUUUUUAACCAAAAUAACAUAUAAUUUAUGAAGAAACUAAAACUUAGAAUAUAAAUAUAUAUGUGAAAAUUAUUUAAAUGUAUAUAUAAUUUAUCAAGAAAUUAAAUUUUAGACUAUAAAUAAUACUGAAGAAGAAAUUUCCCGGCUUCUUAAGGGUACAUUAUCGAGUAUUUCAGUAAAGGGAGAGCUACGCAAGUUCAAGUAAUAGCUUACAUCUCGAGCUGCCUUACCGAGCAAGCCAAAUCUAUCAGGCAAACCACCCGGAGGAAACUCCAUUCCAUUGAUAGGGUCUGUAGGAGUUAGACCAGGCCGGUAAUCAUACAUUUCCUGCCAUAGUUGGGGGUCGGCAUAGUAACCUGACGUUUUGCACCACUCACGAGAAUCAUUUGUGUGAAUCAGCUCCUCCGGUGGGUAUGCAGCCUUUUGUUGGAAGUAAAGGCGAGCAGAAUCUAAACCAGAUCUCAGUAGAGCUCCAUCACUAGCUGGAAACUGAAUGAUGGCAGCUGAAUAUUGAGCAAAUGAUUGUGAUAAAGUAGAGACUGAUAGCUUGUAAGAAUCUGAAGGAAUGCCUUCAGAAGGUACGAGGUCAGUAAGCUUUACACGACCCAGAGAUGGCAGGCCAUUGCCUGCCAUUAAAAUCCUUCAACGUACCAGUUACGUUAUUUCCAACUAAAGGUUAUAUCACCUAUCGACAAUACAAAUUAAAAUCAGCAUAAGUCAAAGGAUUUAAGACAAAGUAUUAUCUGUCAUACAGAAAAUGGAAUAUAAAUAAGACAUAACGAUACCGCAUUGCAAACAAAUAGAAGCACCAAAAGUUAUUCCAGAUUAGUCCCUCUAUUAUAUGAACUGGAAAAAUACUGGCUCAUUUUGAAAUUUUCGUAGUGGAUAAUCAAUGGAAACUAAACUGAAAUAGAUUUCCGGGUGAAAGUACCUGCCAAGUCCCUUUAUUAUAUGAACUGGAUCACAUUAGUCCCUCUACUAUUAAAUGUAUCAAUUUAAUCCCUAUACUAUUAAAAAGAAUUAAAUAAAGCCAAUUUGUAACGAAGUUAACAUUUACUGUUUAAAAAAUGAAAUGAAAUUUUUUUUUUCCCAUUUGCAGUUCAACUCCAAACAGAAGAUUUCAUUUCAAAACCAUAAAAAUAUUUCAAAAUGUUAAUGAAAUCCUUUUAGUUGAUUCCUUUUAUUAGUGCAGGGAUUAAAUUGAUCCAUUUAAUAAUAGAGGGACUACUAUGACCCGGACCCUAUAACGUAGCGACAACAUUCACCUAGAUUUCCGCCAUUGCAGCUAUAAUACUCCAAGCUAAUUUUUAGACUGAUUUGCCUAAUAAAUUUCAUAAUGAAUUUGGGAACUGAACAAAAUACUCGCUUUUAGAACCCUAAUUAUAUUUCUAACACUCCAAUCAAAUUUGUAAAAAUUAUUUCAUAAUGCCUUCAAUCACAUGCCAUCAAAUAUUCCACUUACAAAGAAAUAACAGCAAAAAAAGAAAGUGAAUUUGCUUUGAAAUUUAAUUUUUUUAUGAUUAAAAAGAAAACAAACCCAAUUCAUGAAAUCAAACAAGAAUUAAAAUAAAGAAAUACCCAUCAAGAUCAACAUACAAAAUUCAUACUUCACAAUUAAGGAAAAAGAAAGAACAUGCCUUUGAUUGAUUGCAGCGUCUUACUGAUGCUAAAGUAAACGAAGCGAAAUAGUUAAUUGGAAGCUGAAAUGGGUAAAGCUGUGACUGCGAGAAACAAAAGAUGGUUAGGAAAAGAUUGAAUCUUUCCCGAGAAAAUCAGCAGCAAAAUUCUUUUGUUUAUCAAUGGAAGAUGCUUCAUCAUGGGCCUUGCUUGGUUAGAUUUGGGCUUUUUGAAGGGAUUAGUUUCACCUAGUUUACCACUCCAGAAUUUUUAAUUAUUAUAAAUUAAUUUUUCAAGAUUUUUUAUAAACAUUAGUUUUAUUUUUUUAUUUAUUAAAAUAUGGGAUUUAUUUCUCUAAAUUUAUUUUUCAAAUAUUAAUUCAACUUCAUCACUCGCUAAUAACAAUGUCGAAUUUGAUUAAUUUUAACAUUUUUCAUUGUUAUACAUAAUUUUAUCUAUAAUUUCUUUUAAAAAUAUUAUUAAUUUUUUUAAAAAAUAAAGAAUAUAUAUAAUCAAAAUUCUAAAAAAAAAUAACAAAUACGUAAUUAAAUUAGAAUAUAAAAAAACAUUUUAUUUGAUUGUAUUUAAAAUAAAUUUCAUGAUUUUGUAAUUAGAAAACACAUUGUAUGAAAAUAAUGAGAAUAAAUAACUCGAAAUUAUGGCCUAUUGAUCGAUGUUCAUUCACUCAAAAAUAAUUUAAGAUUAACUUGUACCAAAGAAUAAUGAAAAUAAAUAAAUAAAUAAUUUAUCUUAAAAGGUACCUUUUUAACUUAAUUUUUUUAAUCACAGUCUUAUGUUUAAAGUUAUAUCAGAAGUACAAUUACUUUUUAGCAUACUAAAAAUGGAAAUCAGUGUUUCACCCAUUAAAUUAUUUAAAAAUAAUCAUACCAAACAUACUUAAAGCUUAUCAAGUCUAUUUUUACAUGAAAGAAACGGUGUAGGCAAAUGAAUUUUAUAUUUUGAGAUAUUUGAAUUUUAGUGUGACAGGAUCAGAAUGGUUUUUGAAGUCCCCUGUUUUAACUUUAGAAAAUCAUUAUAAAUUGUACAGAGAGAAUUACAGGUCAUAAUUUAUAUGUCUAGAUUCCUUAGUGAGUCUAUUUUCAAAAUAAACAAACGAUAACCUUAUACGAAUUCUGUAAAAUGAGAUAAUUAAUUUUUAGUGCCAAGAGAUCAGAACUGUUUAGUAGUGAAAUAGGGGAUAUUUUAAUGAAUAAACUGUACUAAUUGGCUAAACCAAAAAUUCUAAAAAUUUUAUGGUAAGAAUGUAUUUGAGUCUAGUUUCAGGAAAAAUUUACGGAUUUAAAUUUUGAGUUUUUUAACUCGAGAUAUAAUUAAAUUAGUGACAGUGGCGCAGGUGGAUAGUUUUAUUGUGAACAGUGAAUUUAAUUUUAAAAGCAAAUUUUUAUGCUCCGAAUUAAUAAGUUAAAUUAGAUGACAUCUCGUACUCGAUUCCGACGAUGGUCUAGGGUAAGUGGUGUUACAGCUUGGAUUGGUUUUAGGUGAAUAGUGGGCCUAUUUAUAUAUUAUAAUUUUAUUUAUUAAUUUUUUCAGUUAAACCGAAAAAUUCGGUUAACCAACCGAUUUCGAACCGAAUUAACCGUUAACCAAAAAUCAAAAAAUAAUCAACCGACCCCCGAUCAAAAAAAUUCUGUUAACCGACCGAUUAACCAAAUUCAGUCAGUUAACAGAAUUUUUUCUGUUUUACCCGAAUUUUGCACACCCUUAAGGUAAACUACACUCAAGGUCACUCUAAAAUAGGAUUUGUCCACUCUAAAUUUUUUUUCAUUUUAAUCACUUUAAUUAAGAUAAUUGGAUGUAUAACUAAAGAGGAAUGAACAUAUAUACAUAAGAAUGGAUGUAUGGCAUGGUUAAGGGAAGUGCAAGGGCAAAAGCUUCAACCUGUAUAAUUCGUUAUAUGCAGGCAAUUCGAAUUUUGGAGAGCUAAGCCAAAAUUUGAAUAAUAACCUCAUGUUGAGAUAUUUUGAUAUAUUUAAAGAGUUUGGGACUUUGGGUGCACACCUACAAGAUUUUACACCAUUUAUUUAUUUAUUUAUAGGAUAAACUAUACCACGGCUAUAUGUAUAUUGUCCUUUUUCUCUUUUGAUCAUUUAACUAACAAUUUUUUUUUUUAAUUUGGUCAUCCAACUAAAUAAGGGUUUUUUUUUUGUCCAUUUCCAUUAAGUGUUGCUAAAUCUCUUACAAGAGGAUAACGUAGCAAUUAAAAAAUCGAUAAUAACAAAUUUAGCGCUUAAUUUUUACAUAUUUAGUCAUAAAUUUAAAAAAAUUAACCCUCAAAGUUUACAAAUGGUCUCAAUUUGAUUCUCAUAUUUUUUUAAUUAUUUUUAAUCUUAAAAAUAAUUUAUAAAAUUUUAAAUUUUAUAAAAUUAAUUAAAUGCUGUCAUGUCAUCUACGUGGCAAUCCACGAGUAUGCCACAUUAGCAAAGUUAACAAAUUAUCAAGGAGUUGCUUCUAUUGGUUUGAUUGUAAUUGCUAUUAUCAAUGAGUUGCUUUGUUUUCAUUUAGAUUCUAUGUUUGCACGUCGAAAUUAACAUAUGCUAUGGAGGCUUGUCUAGAUUAUGAAUGACAGCAUAUUGAGAGCACUUGUAUUUAUUCAUUGAGGAAUUGUUUGGUGUGAGAGUACAAAUUGAAUUGUAAACAUUGGGUGUUUACUUCAUUAGUUAUUGAUUUCAUGGUUGAUUUUGAAAGUUACCAUUGAUGAGUGCUGGAUUUUUAUGAUGAAUGAACAUGGAGUUAAAGCUUUAAUUUUAUUAUAUGAUGAUUUUAUUAAGUAAUUUUGAUAGAAAUUGAUUUUAGGGACCUAAUUGUAAAAAAAGUUGAGAACUAGGGUUUGAUGUUGCGGUUUUGAAUAUCAAAGGCUGUAUAGUAGUCUAAAAUAGUUGGACAAGGUGUUAAUUGAGAAAAAUUAGAUCAAUUGAGGGGUUAAUUGAGCAGGGACUAAAUUGUAAAAAUUGUAAAGUUUGGGUUAAAAGUGUAAUUUCGAAAAUUAAAGGACAUAAAUUGUGAAAUGAAUUAGAAUAGAAUUAGAUGCUGAUGAAUGAAUAAAAUUGUAUUUUAGAUCGAGAACCCGAAACAAGUCGAGGAAAAGAAAAAGUAGUUGAUUAGUCCCUAAACUUUUACAACUCCUGCAAAUUGGCCCAGGUAAGUUCAUAUGGCUGAAUUUUUAUGAUUAAUUGUUAGUGUGGGAAUGACAUAUUGUAUCAAUUCGUAUAUUGUUGUUGAAUUAUGAUUAUGGUAAAAAUGAGAAUAAAAUGAGAUUGUUAGUUCAAAUUAAGGAAUACGCAGGAUUGAGUACAUACGUUCGGCAACCAAUGAUGAAUUGACGGAUAAGUCCAUGGUGGAUCCAUGGCAAAAUGUGAAAGUAGGUAUGGUAUUUCAAUGAAGAAAACCAUACUGAGUUGUGAAAAGUAGGUAUGGUGUUUCAAUGAAGAAAACCAUACUGAGUUAUAGCAAUGUGAAAUAUUCAAGUAAAUCGUGGCACCGGGCAAACGAUGUACUCAAAUCCAUAAGAUGAUCCUUAAUGUGACAGGUAUUUAUAAGUGAAAUUGAAGCUAAAUUUCGGAAUAUAAGUUGACAUCUGAUAUUGAGCUCGAUUGAAUAGAUUCACUGUUUGAGAUUGUGAUUGGCAGGAAAUGUUGAAUUUUUAUUUGUUUAUUAAUAUUAUUAGUGAAAUUGUGGUAAGAUUUUAUAAUGAGCCUAUGAACUUACUAAGCUUCUAUAAGCUUACUUGUGUGUGUUUAUUGUUUCUUGUAGAUUGAUAUAUAUAUGUUCGGAGGAUCGGAUCUACAUCAACGAUCACACUAUCAAGAUUUACUCCGGUAGAGUUUUUCAAACAACUUUUUGAUUUAUAUGGCAUGUAUAGGGAUUUGAUCAUUUUGUGUGUGUGUCCUUAUGGUAUGGCUAAGGAGAAACAAGUAAAUAUUCGAUAAUGAUUAGUUAUUGAAAUGGCUAUAUAGGAACGUGUUUUGGCCUUGCGUGUGCUUAAAUGAUAGUUAAUACAAAGAAAUGACAAAAGAGAGUAAAAAUUUGCAAUGAAACAGUUUUUGGACAGCAGCAGUGACGUGAUUUUGAAAAAUCACAAAAAAUAGAAUAAAUUGAAUUAGAAACUGAGUGAGAUAGGAAAUUAAAGCUGAAUGAGUCUAUUUUCACAUGAAAGAAAUAGAGUAAUAAAAAUAGUUAUAUAUUAUGAGAUAUUUUAAUUUUAGUGAGACAGGGUCAGAAUGGUUUUUGAAGUCCCCUGUUCUGACUUUAAAAAUUCAUUAAAAAUUGUAUAGAAGGAAUUAUGAGUUAUAAUUCAUAUGCAUAGAUUCUUUAGUGAGUCUAUUUUCAAUAGAAACAAACGAUAAUAUUAUCCUAAUUCUUUACAAUGAGAUAAUUAAUUUUUAGUGAAGAGGGGUCAGAGCUGUCGAGCAGUGAAACAGGGGAGAAUUUAAAGAAUAAACUGUACUAAUUGGCUGAACCAAAAAUUCUUAAAAUUUUAUGGUAAAAAUAUAUAUGAGUCUAGUUUCAGGGAAAAUUUACGGAUCUAAAUUUAGAGUUUCGUAACUCGAGUUAUAAUUAAAUUAGUGACUGCUGCGCAGGUGGACAGUUUUAUUGUGAAUAGUGAAAUAAAUUGUUUUAAUUUGAUUAAGUAUACGAAAAUUAUUGAUGUUUCUGGUUUGGACCCGAACCAUUUUUAUUACAUGAUUUUGGGGUCUCGAGAGUUCUUUUAGGGACAUAUGGAUUGAUUGUGAGUGAAUAAAUUUUAAAAGCAAAUUUUUAUGCUCCGAACUAGUAAGUUAAGUCAGGUAAUGCCUCGUGCUCGACUCCGGCAACGGUCUCGGGUAAGGGGUGUUACAGAUUAACCAAAUUCAGUCAGUUAACCGAAUUUUUUCUGUUUUACCCGAAUUUUGCACACCCCUAACUCAAGGUCACUCUAAAAUAGGAUUUGUCCACUCUAUAUUUUUUUUCAAUUUAAUCACUUUAAUUAAGAUAAUUGGAUGUAUGGCAAGUAUCAACGACAUCCACAAAUAACUAAAGAGGAAUGAACAUAUAUAAAUAAGAAUGGAUGUAUGACAUGGUUAAGGCAAAGGGCAAAAGCUUCAACCUUUAUAAUUCGUUAUAUGCAGGCAAUUCCAAUUUUGGGGAGCUAAGCCAAAAUUUGAAUAAUAACCUCAUGUUGAGAUAUCUUGCUAUAUUUCAAGAGUUUGGGUGCACACCUACAAGAUUUUACACGAUUUAUUUAUUUAUUUAUAGGAUAACUAUACGACGGCUAUAUGUAUAUUGUCCUUUUUCUCUUUUGAUCAUUUAACUAACAAAUUUUUUUAAUUUGGUCAUCCAACUAAACAAAAGGUUUUUUUUUUCUUGUCCAUUUCCAUUAAGUGUUGUUAAAUCUCUUACAAGAGGAUAACGUAGCAAUUAAAAAAUCGAUAAUAACAAACUUAGCCCUUAAUUUUUACAUAUUAUAUCGAUUUAGUCAUAAAUUUUAAAAAAUUAACCCUCAAAGUUUACAAAUGGUCUCAAUUUGAUUCUCAUAUUUUUUAAUAAUUUGUAAUUUUAAAAAUAAUUUAUAAAAUUUUAAAUUUUAUAAAAUUAAUUAAAUGUUGUCAUGUCAUCUACGUGGCAAUAGCAAAGUUAACAAAUUAUCAAGGAGUUGCUUCUAUUGGUUUGAUUGUAAUUGCUAUUAUCAAUGAGUUGCUUUGUUUUCAUUUAGAUUCUAUGUUUGCAAGUCGAAAUUAACAUAUGCUAUGGAGGCUUGUCUAGAUUAUGAAUGAGAGCAUAUUGAGAGCACUUGUAUUUAUUCAUUGAGGAAUUAUUUGGUGUGAGAGUACAAAUUGAAUUGUAAACAUUGGGUGUUUACUUCCCAAGUUCUCAUGGAGAGAACUUAGAGGUAAAUGUUCUAAUCUUUAGAUAUAAUGGUGGGAUUUCUAUUUGGGGAGUGAUAGAAUGUGAUUCGCUUGUUAUAUUGUGGAUUAAAAAUUACGUUUAUAUUUUAACAGGACAAAUUGAUUAACGUGAGUGACUAGUUUGAAUAAUUAUUUUAACGAGAAUAAUUAAAUUGAGAAAAAAAUUAGAGUGACCAAAAUAGGACAAACCAUAUUUUAUUGUGACCUUGGUGUAAUUUAUCCUGAAAAAUAUUUUACUCCGUAGACUUGGUUAAGUUGACCUGCUUCUAAACUCUAUGUUUUGUUGAUACAGGAACAUAAAGAUAAAAGUUGAAGUAGCAUUCCUUAUCAAAAUUUUGCUUUUCUUACUCAAAUUCCGUGUUUUCCAUUUUCUUUUCCUUCUCUUUUUUCUCCUUUAGCUUCUAAGACCUAAAAAGUCUUAAAGAACGUGGGAGUGGGGCUUUCUUCAUAGACUUCUGUUUGACUCGACUUUAUAACCUUUUGUGGAUAAUUAAAUUUCCAAGUUAAUGCAUUUUGUUGGAAGAAACUUCCUUGCGCUUCAUGUAUUUUUGUGUUUUAGCUAAAGCUUACUCUAUAUAUUUGGAGUUGUGAGCCAUGGCAAUUGCAACCAUGACUACUCCUCUUCCUAUUUCCUUAUUCCCUUUUCUUCUUCUCAUUCCCGCUAUCUGUUUUACCAUUUGUCAUGCCAAUUCCAACCUACUUUGCAUUCAGAGUGAGAGAGAAGCUCUUUUGAAAUUCAAGAAUCAUCUCAUUGAUCCUUCAAACAGGCUAUCGUCAUGGGUUGAAGGUGGGGAUUGCUGUGAAUGGACUGGUGUCGUCUGCCAUAACUCAACAGGCCACGUCAACCAACUGCACUUGGCCGCUACUCUUCCAGAGGUUGAUUACUCUGAAACAAUUACUGAAUUGGAAGCUUACUACAAUUCCCGGCUAGGAGGCAAAAUAAAUCCUUCACUGCUGGAGUUGAAGCAUCUUAGUUCCCUGGACUUCAGCAAUAACGAUUUUAGCAGCAUACAUAUCCCGAAAUUUUUCGGUUUGCUGCAGAGUUUAACAUAUCUUAACCUCUCUCGAGCACAAUUUCAGGGAGCAAUUCCUCAUAACCUUGGGAAUCUCUCAAAGCUGCAGUAUCUUGAUCUUCGAGGUAAUGAUCUCGAACCAAAAAGUCUUCAAUGGGUUUCUGGACUUUCUUCCUUGCGGUACCUUGAUUUGAGCUAUGUGAAUCUUUCUGAAGCAAAUGACUGGAUACAGGUAACAUUCAAACUUCCCUCUUUGUUAGAGUUGCACUUGUCAGAUUGUGAUUUAGAAGAUGAUCCAUCUUUGAUCAGUGCCAAUUUUACAAAAUCACUGGUUGUUCUUGAUCUUUCUUUCAACCGCUUUUCUUCAGUACCUAAGUCGGUAUUCAGUCUUCAUGGUCUUCUGUCAAUUGAUCUUCGUGGCUAUUCUUUGCAAGGACCAAUUCCAGAUUACUUUGGGAACACCUCGUUUCUUGAAGUUCUUGAUCUUAGUUGGAAUGGUCUCAAUUCGUCCAUACCCAAUUCCUUGUAUAGUUUAAACCGUCUUCAGUUCCUUAGUCUUGGCCAUAACCAGUUACAAGGAACAAUCUCGAGUGCCAUUGGAAACUUGAGCUCUGUUACUCAGCUUGAUCUUUCAGUAAAUCAAUUAAACGGCCAAAUUCCCUUGUCUAUAGGGCAGUUGUCAUCUUUGGAGGAGUUUGAUGCUUCAGAAAAUCAAUUAAAUGGUCAAAUUCCAUUGUCUAUAGGGGAGUUAUCAUCUUUGAAGUUGUUUGAUGUUUCAGAAAAUCAAUUAAACGGCCAAAUUCCCUUGUCUAUAGGGCAGUUGUCAUCUUUGGAGGAGUUUAAUGUUUCAGAAAAUCGAUUAAAUGGUCAAAUUCCAUUGUCUAUAGGGGAGUUAUCAUCUUUGAAGUUGUUUGAUGUUUCAGAAAAUCAAUUAAAUGGUACAUUUCCUCUAUCUUUUGGACGAUUAGAAAGUUUGGAAACUCUGGAUUGUGAGUAUAACCUAUUAGAAGGAGUUGUAUCAGAAACCCAUUUUUCUAAUCUCACGAGAUUGACAACUCUGAAGGCAUCACACAAUCGGCUUAGAUUUGAACCAAACUCAAGCUGGAUUCCCACCCAUUUCAAUGUGAAAGGAUCGAAUUGGGUCACAGGCAUCUUGGCCCAAAGUUUCCCCAGUGGCUAAAAUUCCAAAAGAAUUUGUCUUAUUUGGAUAUCUCCUAUGCAGGAAUUUCAGAUGUCAUGCCCACUUGGUUUUUGAACCUUCCCACUCAAUUUGAAUCUUUAGACCUUUCCUCGAAUCAACUUAGAGGAGAGAUUUCAUAUUUGAAUGUGAGAAACUCUGUUAAUUUGAGUUCAAACCGAUUCAGAGGCCCAUUGCCAGGAGUAUUCCCAACUUUACGAUUUCUAAUUUUAUCAAAUAAUUCAUUUUCGGGAUCUCUUUUUGAAUUAGUUUGUAAUUCGUUUAGUGGGGAAUUUAUGGAAGUUCUUUACAUUGAUAAAAAUCUUAUCUCAGGAGAUAUUCCAGAUUGUUGGAAUGAUUGGCCGAUUUUGGACCUUUUAAAUUUGGGAAGCAACAAUUUGACCGGUAAAAUCCCACCUUCUUUAUGGCAUCUAAAUCUUAUGAUGCUAAACCUUCGAAACAAUACUAUGUUUGGAGAAUUGCCAUCCACAUUGCAAAAUCCUCCAGAUUUGAUUAUGUUUGAUAUUAGUGAAAAUCAUUUCAGUGGAAGUGUACCAGCAUGGAUUGGUGAUAAGCUCUCAAACCUUGAGAUUCUAAGCCUUCGAUCAAAUAACUUUGAUGGACAUAUUCCUCAUAAAAUUUGUGAUCUUCAAUUUCUUCAAAACUUGGAUCUUGCCCACAACAACAUUUCUGGAGUUAUUCCAAAAUGUUUUUAUAAUUUAAGUGCAAUGGCCACAACAAAAAAAACCAAUAAUGAAAUUUCUGCGGGGAAUGUAAAUUAUGUAAAUCUUGAAGACCCAAUUUAUUUGAACAAUGUAAAUGCUGCCCCAUUUUAUUUGAAAGCAUUAUUGGUAAUGAAAGGACGAGAGGAUGAAUAUGGUAGCACACUAGGACUUGUUACAAGCAUGGACCUUUCAGCUAACAGUCUCACAGGAGAGAUCCCCAAAGAAAUUGGUAGUCUCAUUGGACUAUUGUCUUUAAAUUUUUCUGGGAAUCUCUUAACAGGAAAUAUACCAGACAGCAUUGGCAAGAUGGAGUUAAUGGAAUCUCUUGAUUUGUCCAUGAAUCGACUAAAUGGUGAAAUCCCUCCAAGUUUCUCCAAUUUGAAUUUCUUGAACCACUUCAAUGUGUCCUACAACAACUUGACAGGACAAAUCCCAACAAGCACUCAGCUUCAAAGCUUUGAGAACUUGUCUUACGUGGGCAAUCAUCUUUGGGGACCUCCUCUCACUAAGAACUGCACCUCAAAAGGUAUUCCAAUUGACGUUGCAAAUAAUGGAAGUAGCAGGGAAGGAAGUAAAGUGAAUUGGCUUUAUGUCAGCAUAGUUCUCGGCUUUGUAAUGGGAUUUUGGGGUGUAGUGGCUCCCUUGUUUUUCAUCAGGUCUUGGAGGCAUGCAUACUAUCGAAAGUUGGACCAUGUUGGUCGAAAGCUGUAUGUGUCUUGGGCUACUAUGGGUAUGUAGUUUGAUGGGAAAAAAACAUGUGUAAACAUGUUGUCUAAAGUUGGUAUAAUUUACUGGAGAUUGGAUCCAAGUGUGUUUUGAUUAUGUAUGAAUAUGUUUUGCUGUAUUUCAAUAAUAUACAAUGAAAAUAAUUUUCAGCAAAAAAUGUUGUUUGAUAAAUUCCAUCAGUUGCUUAGCUUAAUAAUUGAGUAGACGUGGCAGCCAUAGAUCUGGUCUUCUUCCUCCUUGAUCCUUCAAAUUUGGAGUAACAAAAAUAGUAGUAAAUAGGAUUAGCCUAUUUUUUUCUGUCAUUUUUUAAUUGUUGCCAAUGGAUCUCAACAAAAAAAGAGUUCAGCUGUUGCUCUUCAUCCUUGGACUCACCCUUCUCAGUAAGACAGGUAACAACAUCAAAACGUCCUCGUUUUUGCAUUUGGUCUGGAAAAUAAAAGAAGUCGUAAAUGUUGGAAUUUAUAUCUCCAAGUUAAUUUCAAGUUUGUAAAAUUUAAUGUAAUUGAUUGUUCUCUCUUCUUUGUUAACUUUUAUGGAUCAAAUUGGUAUACCUGUUUAGAGUUAUUUCGAUUUUUUAUUUUAAAGUAUAUAUUUGGAUUCAGCACAUUCAAACAAUGAGAAUGAGCAUAGAAUAUUUCAAAAAUAUAUGAAACAAUUUAUAAAAGUUUUAAUAUACUCAAGUGAAAUACAUACCCGACAAAAAUCCUUUCAAGUUAUCGAGAUUCCAUCCACUCCAGCCAUAUAGAGUGGUUUUUUGUUUUUAAAAAUUGAGUUUGAAGAAAGGUGAAUCGAGUUUUUAACAAGGGCGCUAGGGACGGGCACCUGGAAAAUUUUCUAUUUAUAUCUUUUAAAAUUUUAAAUUAGUAAAAGUAAAAUUGCACUUUGAUCUCCUUAGAAAAUGAUAAAAUUUUGAUUUAAUCCUUUAAAAAUUAUAAAGAGAUAAGGUAUUAAAACGGUGAAAUUGCAUUUUUACUAUCGUAAAAAUUUCAAUUUAAUUUCGGUUCUCCUAAAUAAAUUUCUGGCUUUUGGAAUUAUUGAAUGAAAAAAAUAAUUUCGAAUUUUUCAAAUGAUUUUAUAAAUCUCUUGACAUGUAGGAAGGAAAUUAAGAAAAAUGAUAGAGCAUGAGGAUAUUCAAAAUGAGAUUAUAAAAUUUAGGCUUAAUCCACAAACUGGUACCUAAAUUAAAAUUUUCUCAUCUUGGUAUUUAAACAUUUUUUUUGUCACAAGUGAUAUCAAAAUUUUGCAAGUCAAUCUAUCAACCCUUAUCUCCGAACCAAUACCCCAACAGAUUCUCAAUCCAACCGGUCAAUCCAGUCCAAUUUUGAAAACAUUGGAUUUGGUCGAUGAAACAACUUUUUUGAUCUCAUCAAAUCGAACAAGCAAGUGGUGAAAUUCGAAAAUAUAAUCAAUUGCCAGCAUCUCAACUUUGAGAGAGUGAAUUUUGAGCAUCGCUAGUAUUGUCAUACAUUAUAAAAGAAGAAGAAGAAAAAAAAGGGAAUGGGAAAAAAAGUAAAAAAGAGAGAAAAAUGUAAAAGAAAAAAGGAAAAAAAUUAAAAAAAUAUAUUUUUUAAGUUAUAUGACAUGGCAGAUUAUUAUUAGCUGGAAUUUUAUUGAAUGGGUAUAACAUUUUGGUGUCAAAUGGGUAAGAGAAGAAUAGUUUAAGUACCACUUAAGAGCAAAAAUAUGUUUAGAUACCAACUUAUAAGUUAAGCCUUAUUUAAACAUAGAUUUAAUAGUUAGACUAACAAAGGUACCAACUUAAAAAAAAAAAAACAAAAGUGGUUUAGAUCUCAACAUAGGAAAAAAGGAUAUAAUUUAAGUAUCAAUAUUUGAAUUAAGCCUAAAAUAUAUAUUGAAAUUUUUGAAAAGUAAUAAAGUGAGUUUAGAUAGAGGAUGGAUGUUGAGUUAGGUUCAUUGGGAAGCAGGACAUAGUAAAUAUUGGUAUAAUAUUGAAUUUAGUUUUCAAUUUUUUUUUGUCAAUUUAGUUUUUAUUCUUUUUUUGAGCUCAAUUUGACCCAUAACAUUUUCAAAAGAGUCUCAUUAUUGUUUUUUUAACGGAAAUAUUAACUAAAACAUUCAAUUUUUAAACAUUGAAACAUGCAUAACAAUCCACAUGUAUUUAGAUUGAUGUAGCAUAUAAGACAAAUAGUGUUAUGUCAGUAUGAAAUAUAUGUGGACUACCAUGCGUCCUAGCAUGCCAACAUCGCUAAAAUAUUAGUUUUUUUAGUCAACAAUUCUUUUUUUUAAAGCAAUUUGAUUCUUUUUAAAAAAUUAAUGGUCAAAUUUAACUCAAAAAAAAAGAAUUAAAAUCAAAUUGACAAUAGAUGUAAUCAUUAAGGGCCCAAUUUAACAAUAUGCCAUAAAUAUUUCUUUACAUGAGAGAAAAUUUUUCAGAUUUUAUUUUAAAACACAAAUAAUUUUACAACUUUUGGUAACUAAAACUUUAUUGAGAAAACUCAACAUGAAACAAUUAGUUGUUUCAAUUUACUAUCAAAACGGAAUGUUUCGAUCAGUACGUGGUACCAAAAGAGUAUCAAGUACUAUAGAUUGAAGUUCUAUAUUGACACUUUAUGAUUUAGUUCUUAAAUCUGAUAAUAAUAAACCUCUCCCCUAACUAAAUCAACCUUUUCAAAUAAUUAAAAAAUAAUUUUUAAUCUCCACUCAUGAAAAUGAAAUACAAUUUAUUGUCAAUCAUUUAUCUUUUCGGAAUACAUCCACAAUUAGAAGAUUAAUCACUAUUACUGAUUAUGGAUGUUCAAAAAAUAAUAUUUUUUAAUCCCGCUCACGAAAAUGGAACAUAUUUUAUUGUCACUCAUUUAACUUUUCGGAAAAUAUCUUCAGUUAGAAAAUUAAUCACUGCUAUCAAUGAUGAAUAUCGUAAUUACGGCAAGAAAAAUAAUUUUUGAGAUUGAGACAAACAGAUUUAAGUUGAAUUUUUAAAAGUAAUAUUUGAAGUUUUAAAAAAUAUUUUAUUCACAUAUAAAAAUUAGAAAAUUUCAAACAUUGAAGCUAAGCCAAAUUUCUCCAAUGUCUUAAGAAUCUUAAGAACCUCGUGUUGAGAUAAUUAUCAAUAUUGCCAAUUAACUUCUAAGUCAUUAAAAAGAAACUUCAGUCCUCCAAUCACAAUUCAACACUUUUCUAAAUUUUCAUUGGCAUUGAUAAUAGUAAAUUUAUAUUUUGGCUCUCUUAAAAAUAAUACAAAAUUAAUUUAAUCCUUUAAAAAUUAUAAAAAUAUAGGCUACUAAAAUAGUGAAUUGUAUUUUUAUUAUCGUAAAAAUAUAUAAUUUAAUUCUGGACUCCCAAAAAUAAAAUCUGACUCCAUGUUAAAUUGAUUUAUUUUCAAUAAAAUUUUGUUGGAAGAAACUUCCUUGUGCUUCAUGUAUUUUUCUGUUUUACCUCAAAAGGUAUUCCAACUGAUGUUGCAAAUAAUGGAAGUAAUAGAGAAGGAAGUAAAGUGAAUUGGCUUAACUCAGCAUAGUUCUUGGCUUUGUAAUGGGAUUUUGGGGUGUAGUGGCUCCCUUGUUUCUCAUUAGGUCUUGGACGAUUGCAUACUAUCGAAAGUUGGACCAGAUCUAUGGUAAAUUGUAUGCGUUUUGGGCUACUAUGGGUAUGUAGUUUGAUAGGAAAAAGGCAUGUAUAAUUGAUGCAUCUGAGCUAGAUUGUUGGGUGCUGAAAGAUUAGUUUUAGCCUUUUUGUCCUUUUUUGGGACUCAUGGGUGUGCCAACAAGGUGGCCCACUCGCUUGCGUAACUAGCUUUGUUAUAUGCAAAUUCACAAGGAAUGAGAUGCUUUUCCCCUUGCAUCUUUCUUUGAAGAAUGUUGAAAUUAUGUCUUAUGUGGAUUGCAGAUGGUAGGUUCGGGUGUAUGGGGUGAGCUUGUUGGCCUGGGUUUUGUAGUCUGUCUCCUCUUUGUGUUUACUAUUAUUUUGUGACUUUUUCAUUAAUAAAUUUUUUUCUCUCAAAAAAAUUAGUAAAUUUAGACACACAAAAGUAUAAGGGUAAACCACACCCAAGGCCACUCUAAUUUUUUUAUCAAUUUACUCAAUCUAAUUAAUAUUAUUGUUCGAACUAGUUACUGCAGUUAAAAAUUCUGUUAAUCCAUUAACGGAUUGUUGUUGUAACAAAUUAGCCAAUUGAAUGAUGACACGUGGCACUUUCUUUUGACUUUUGGUAAAAACUUAAAGACCUCUCUAUAAUUAAUCCAGAACAUUUUCUUCCCUUUCUGUUCUCGUAGUAACUCAAAAUGUAGAAACCAAAACAGACAUCUCAAAGCUACAUGUCCUUCACCAUUUUCUCAACAAUGGAUGUAUGACAACUAUCAAUGAUAACCCACCAUAUAUCCACAAAUAGUUAAAAGAAAAAUGAACAUAUAUAAAUAAGCAGGCAAUUCCACUAUCAAUGUAUGGCAUAGAUAAGGCAAGGGCAAAAGCUUCAACCUUUAUUAUUCGUUAUAUGCAGGCAAUUCCAACUUUUGGGAGCUAAGCCAAAAUUCUAAACCUCUAAUAGAUUUUAAUAAUAACCUCAUCUUUGUAAUAUUUAAAGAGUUUGACAGCAGACCUACAAGAUUUUACAACAUUUAAUGAUUUAUUGAUUUAUUUAUUUACAAGCAAAACCAUACCAUAGGUUAUACUGUUACUUUUUUUUAUUAUUAUCUAACUGUCAUUUUUUUAGUCUAUUUCCGUUUAGUGUCGUAAACUCUCUGAAGAAACGGUGAUAUAGCAAUUAAAAAAUUGAUAAUAACAAGUUUAGUUCUCAACUUUUACAUAUUAUAUUGAUUUAGAUAAAUUCUUUAAAAAAUCAACCCUCAAAAUUUACAAAUGGUCUCAAUUUGAUCCUCAUAUUUUUUUUUAAUAAUUUUGAUUUUUAAUUUUAAAAAUAAUUGUUAGAAUAUUUUAAAUUUUAAAAAUGAAUUAGUUGUUACAAAUGGUUUGUUUGUGUUUGUGGUUGAUUAUAUAGGAUUCAGAUUUUAGAUCUAUUAAAUGCCACUUUUUAAAAGAGAUUACUUGAAUCAAUUGAUCAAAACUUCAAGUUUAGUUUUAGUACUCGUACAAGAAUCUAGGGCAUUUCAAGCUUGUGUAAUUUAUUGAAAUGUCAACAAUGCGGAUGUUAUUAUGUCUCUCGGGGUUUGAGUACGCCAGAUUUAGUCCUUGUAUUGAUGUAGCUUAUGCCAUUCGGGAGGCGUUGUCAUGGCUAAAGGCUCUGCUCUUCGAUAAUGUGGUCAUUGGGUCUAAUUGUGUGGCUGUUACGACUGCUUGGACUCCGCCAAUAAUGGAUGCAUCUGAGCUAGGUGUAUUGUUACACGAUUGUUUAGUGCUGAAAGAUUAGUUUAAGCAGCUGUCUUUUUUUUUUUUAUUAGUCGGUGUGCCAACAAGACAACCCACUUACUUGUGUGAGCAGCUUUCUUAUAUGCAAAUCACAUGGAAUGGGAUGUUUUUUCCCUUGCAUCUUUUUCAAAGAAUGUUGCAAUUAGGGUAAACUACUAAAAUAGUUACUUUUGUUUGGUUCAUGUUACAUUUUAGUCACUUAUGUUUGAAAUGUUACGUUUUAAUAACUUAUGUUAUCGUGUUGUAACAUUUUAGUCACUGAGCCGUUAGUUUAUGUUAACGGUGUAACAAAAAGCUGAUGUGGCAUGUUAAAUCAUCAUUUCAAACAAAAAUUCUAGGUUAAUUUAUACAAUCGGUCCCCAUAUUUUUUCGUUUGGAGCAAUUUAAUUUUUUUCUUUUAUGUUUUUUUAACUUUAUUUCUUUUCCAUUCUCUUAUGCUUCUUCCUUUGUUUUCCUCCUUUCUCCAUUUCUUUCAAUGUAGUGUUUCUAUGUUUUAUUUUUUUUAAACAAUUUAAUUUUUUUUAGUGAGGCGAGCUUGUGGACUAGUUACAAAUGGAAAACAUAGAAAAACUAUGUUAAAAGAAAUGAAGAAGGGAGGAAAAUAGAGAGAGAAGCAGAAGAGAAUGGAAAAAAAAGUUAAAAGAACAUAAAAGAAAAUUUUAAAAUUGUUGAAAAUGAAAAAAUAUAAGGACCAAUUGUAGAAUUUAACCUAAAAUUUUCGUUUGAAAUGAUGAUUUAACGUGCCACAUCAGCUUACCGUUACAACAUUGUUGGCAAUUAACGACCCAGUGACUAAAAUGUUACAACACGAUAACGUAAGUGACUAAAACGUAACAUUUCAAACAUAAGUGACUAAAAUGUAACCUAAGGCAAACAAAAGUGACUAUUUUGGUAAUUUACCUGUUGCAAUUAUACCAUAUGUUGAUAUAAAUGAGGAUUACGGAUGGUAGGUUUGGGUUUAUGGGGUGAGCCUAUUGGCUCAAGUCUAGUAAUUUGUCUUUUCUCUAAAAAAAAAUAGUAAUUUUAGACACACAUAAAAGUAUAAGGAUAAAUUACACUCAAGGUCACUCUAAAAUAGGGUUUGUCCACUCUAAAUUUUUUUUCAAUUUAAUCACUUUAGUUAAGAUAAUUACUCAAACUGGUCAUUGUGUUAAAAAUUUCGUUAAUCCACUAACGGAUUAUUAAUGUGGCAUAUUAACCAAUUAAAUGAUGAUACAUAGCACUUUUUUUUUAAAUUUUAACAAAAACUUAAGGACUUCUCUAUAAUUAAUCCAACACACUUUAUUUUCCCUUUCUCUUCUCUGUUCUCUCUUCUCUCUAACUCAAAAAAGAGAAACCAGAACAGGCAUCUCAAAGCUACAUGCCUUUCACCAUUUUCUCAACAAUGGAUCUAUGGCAACUAUCAACGAUAACCAACCAUAACUAAAGAGGAAUGAACAUAUAUAAAUAAGAAUGGAUGUAUGGCAUGGUUAAGGGAAGUGCAAGGGCAAAAGCUUCAACCUGUAUAAUUCGUUAUAUGCAGGCAAUUCGAAUUUUGGAGAGCUAAGCCAAAAUUCUAUACGUUUAAUAGAUUUGAAUAAUAACCUCAUGUUCAGAUAUUUUGCUAUAUUUAAAGAGUUUGGCUGCACACCUACAAGAUUUUACACGAUUUUUUUAUUUAUAAACUAUACCACAGCUAUAUGUAUAUUGUGAUCAUUUAACUAACAAUUUUUUUAAUUUGGUCGUCAUCCAACUGAUCAAGAAUUUUUUUGGUCCAUUUACAUUAAGUGUUGUUAAAUCUCUUACGAGAGGAAACGUAGCAAUUAAAAAAUCGAUAAUAAUAAAUUUAGCAUUUAAUUUUUACAUAUUAUUUCGAUUUAGUCAUAAAUUUAAAAAAAUUAACCCUCGAAGUUUACAAAUGGUCUCAAUUUGAUCCUCAUCUUUUUUUAAUGAUUUUUAAGUUUAAAAAGACUUUAUAAAAUUUUAAAUUUUAUAAAAUUAAUUAAUUGUUGGCAUGUCAUCUAUAUGGCAAUCCUCGAGUAUGCCACAUUAGCAAAGUUAACAAAUUAUCAAGGAGUUGCUUCUAUUGGUUUGAUUGUAAUUGCUAUUCUCAAUGAGUUGCUUUGUUUUCAUUUAGAUUCUAUGUUUGCAAGUAAAAAUUAACAUAUGCUAUGGAGGCUUGUCUAGAUUAUGAAUGAGGGCAUGUUGAGAGCACUUGUACUCAUUCAUUGAGGAACUGUUUGGUGUGAUAGUGCAAAUUGAAUUGUAAACAUUGGGUGUUUACUUCCCAAGUUCUCAUGGAGAGUAUUUAGAGGUGAAUGUUGUAGUUUUUAGGUACAAUGGUGGGAUUUCUACUUGGGGAGUGAUAGAAUGUGAUUCACUUGUUGUAUUGUGGAGUAAAAAUUACGUUUAUAUUUUAACAGGACAAAUUGAUUAACGCGAGUGACUAGUUUGAAUAUUUAUUUUAACGAGAAUAACUAAAUUAAGAAAAAAAUUAGAGUGACCAAAAUAGGACAAACUGCAUUGUAGUAUAUAAACAUAAAUUGAUUUAUUUUCAAUAAAAGUUGAAGUAGUAUUCCUUAUCAAAAUUUUGCUUUUCUUACUCAAAUUCCGUGUUUUCCAUUAGCUUUUCCUUCUCUUUUUUCUCCUUUAGCUUUUAGUAGACUUUUGUUUGACUCAACUUUAUAACCUUUUGUGGAUAAAUAAAUUUCGAAUUUAAUGCAUUUUGUUGGAAGAAACUUCCUUGCGCUUCAUGCAUUUUUGUGUUUUAGCUAUAGCUUACUCUAUAUAUUUGGAGUUGUGAGCCAUGGCAAUUGCAACCAUGACUACUCCUCUUCCUAUUUCCUUAUUCCCUUUUCUUCUUCUCAUUCCCGCUAUCUGUUUUACAGUUUGUCAUGCCAAUUCCAACCUACUUUGCAUUCAGAGUGAGAGAGAAGCUCUUUUGAAAUUCAAGAAUCAUCUUAUUGAUCCUUCAAACAGGCUAUCGUCAUGGGUUGAAGGUGGGGAUUGCUGUGAAUGGACUGGUGUCGUCUGCCAUAACUCCACCGGCCACGUCAACCAACUGCACUUGGCCGCUCCUCUUUCAGAGCCUGAUGGCUUUGCAACAAAUGCUGAAAUGGAAGCUUACUACAAUUCCCGGCUAGGAGGCAAAAUAAAUCCUUCACUGCUGGAGUUGAAGCAUCUCAGUUCCCUGGACUUGAGCUAUAACGAUUUUAACAGCAUACAUAUCCCGAAAUUUUUCGGUUUGCUGGAGAGUUUAACAUAUCUUAAUCUCUGUCGAGCACAAUUUCAGGGACCAAUUCCUCAUAACCUUGGGAAUCUCUCAAAGUUGCAGUAUCUUGAUCUUGGAGGGAAUAAUCUCAAAUCAAAAACUCUUCAAUGGGUUUCUGGACUUUCUUCCUUGCAGUACCUUGAUUUGAGUUAUGCGGAUCUUCAUACAGCAAAUGAUUGGGUACAGGUGACACUCAAACUUCCUUCUUUGUUAGAGUUGCACUUUUCACGUUGUAGUUUAGACAAUGAUCCAUCUUCGAUCAAUGUUAAUUCUUCAAAAUCACUGGUUGUUCUUGAUCUUUUUCGGAACCGCUUUUCUUCAGUACCUAAGUGGAUAUUUAGUCUUCAUGGUCUUGUGUCCAUUGAUCUUAGUGGCAAUUCUUUGGAAGGCCCAAUUCCAGAUUACUUUGGGAACAUCUCGUUUCUUGAAGUUCUUGAUCUUAGUUGGAACCAUCUCAAUUCAUCCAUACCCAAUUCCUUGUAUAGUUUAAACCGUCUUCAGUUCCUUAGUCUUAGGGAUACCCAGUUACAAGGACCAAUCUCGAAAAUCAAUUAAAUGGUCAAGUUCCAUUGUCUAUAGGGGAGCUAUCAUCUUUGAAGUUGUUUAAUGUUUCAAAAAAUCAGUUAAACGGCCAAAUUCCCUCGUCUAUAGGGCAGUUAUCAUCUUUGGAGGUAUUUGAUGUUUCAGAAAAUCAAUUAAAUGGUACUUUUCCUCUAUCUUUGGGUCGACUAGAAAGUUUGGAAACUCUGGAUUGUGGGUAUAAUCUAUUAGAAGGAGUUGUAUCAGAAACCCAUUUUUCUAAUCUCACGAGAUUGACAACUCUAGCAGCAUCACACAAUCGGCUUAGAUUUGAACCAAACUCAAGCUGGAUUCCCCCAUUUCAAUGUGAAAGUAUCGAAUUAGGUCACUGGCAUCUUGGCCCAAAGUUUCCCCAGUGGCUAAAAUUCCAAAAGGAAUUGUUUUAUUUGGAUAUCUCCCAUGCAGGAAUUUCAGAUGUCAUGCCCACUUGGUUUUUGAACCUUCCCACUUCAUUUAAAUCUUUAAACCUUUCCUCGAAUCAACUUAGAGGAGAGAUUUCAUAUUUGAAUGUGAGAAACUCUGUUGAUUUGAGUUCAAACCGAUUCAUAGGCCCAUUGCCAAGAGUAUUCCCAACUUUAUUAUUUCUAAUUUUAUCAAAUAAUUCAUUUUCGGGAUCUCUUUUUGAAUUAGUUUGUAAUUCAUCAAGUGGGAAAUGGAUGGAAGUUCUUUACAUUGAUAAAAAUCUUAUCUCAGGAGAUAUUCCAGAUUGUUGGAAUCAUUGGCACCAUUUGAAACUUUUAAAUUUGGAAAGCAACAAUUUGACCGGAAAAAUCCCACCUUCUUUAUGGCAUCUAAAUUUUAUAAUGCUAAACCUUCGAAAUAAUACAAUGUUUGGAGAAUUGCCAUCCACAUUGCAAAAUUCUCCAUAUUUGAUUAUGUUUGAUCUUAGUGAAAAUCAUUUCGGUGGAAGUGUACCAGCAUGGAUUAGUGAUAAGCUCUACCUUGUGAUUCUAAGCCUUCGAUCAAAUAACUUCGAUGGACAUAUUCCUCAUGAAAUUUGUGAUCUUCAAUUUCUUCAAAACUUGGACCUUGCCCACAACAACAUUUCUGGAGUUAUUCCAAAAUGUUUUAAUAAUUUAACUGCAAUGGCCACAACAAACAAAACCAAGAAUGGAUGUAUGGCAUAGAUAGGGCAAGGGCAAAAGCUUCAACCUUUAUUAUUCGUUAUAUGCAGGCAAUUCCAACUUUUGGGAGCUAAGCCAAAAUUCUAAACCUCUAAUAGAUUUCAAUAAUAACCUCAUCUUUGUAAUAUUUAAAGAGUUUGACGGCAGACCUGCAAGAUUUUACAACAUUUAAUGAUUUAUUGAUUUAUUUAUUUACAAGCUAAACUAUACCACAGGUUAUAUGUCACUUUUUUAUUAUCUAUCAUUUUUUUAAUUUGAUCACCCAACUAAUCAAGAUAUUUUUUUAGUCAAUUUCCGUUAAGUACCGUUAACUCUCUGAAGAAAGGAUGAUGUAGCAAUUAAAAAAUCGACAAUAACAAGUUUAGCUCUCAACUUUUACAUAUUAUAUUGAUUUAGUUAAAUUCUUUAAAAAAUUAACUCUCAAAAUUUACAAAUGGUCUCAAUUUGAUCCUCGUAUUUUUUUUAAUAAUGUUGAUUUUUAAUUUUAAAAAUAAUUGUUAGAAUUUUUUAAAUUUUAAAAAGUAAUUAAUUGUUACAAAUGGUUUGUUUAUGUUUGUGGUUGAUUAUAUAGGAUUCAGAUCAUAGAUCUAUUAAAUGCCACUUUUUAAAAGAGAUUACUUGAAUCAAUUGAUCUAAACUUCAAGUUCAGUUUUAGUACCCAUACAAGAAUCAAGGGCAUUUCAAGCUUGUGUAAUUUAUUGAAAGUGUGCUUUGAUGUAUGAUUGCGUUUAAUUGUAUGUCAAUAAUGCGGAUGUUGUUAUGUCUCUCGGGGUUUGAGUACGCCAGAUUUAGUCCUUGUAUUGAUGUAGCUUACGCCAUUCGGGAGGCGUUGUCAUGGCUAAAGGCUCUGCUCUUCGAUAAUGUGGCCAUUGGGUCUAAUUGCUUGGCUGUUAUGACUGCUUGCACUCCGCCAAUAAUUGAUGCAUCUGAGCUAGGUGUAUUGUUACAUGAUUGUUUAGUGCUGAAAGAUUAGUUUAAGCAUCUGUCCUUUCUUUUGGACUAGUCAGUGUGUCAACAAGACAAUCCACUUACUUGUGUGAGCAGCUUUCUCAUAUGCAAACCAUAUGGAAUGGGAUAUUUUUUCCCUUGCAUCUUUUUCAAAGAAUGUUGCAAUUAUACCAUAUGUUGAUAUAAAUGAGGAUUAAGGAUAGUAGGUUCGGGUUUAUGUAGUGAGCCUAUUGGCUCAGGUUUAGUGAUUUGUCUCCUCCUUGUGUUCGCUUGUGUUUUGUGAUUUUCUCAUUAAUGAAUUUCUUUUCUUUCAAAAAAAAUUAGUAAUUUUAGACACGCAUAAAAAUAUAAGGGUAAACUACACUUAAGGUCACUCUAAAAUAGGGUUUCUCCACUAACGGAUUAUUAUGUGGCUUAUUAACCAAUUAAAUGAUGACACAUAGCAUUUUUUUUUUCACUUUUGACAAAAACUUAAGGACUUCUCUAUAAUUAAUCCAACACACUUUUUUUCCCUUUCUCUUCUCUCUCUAACUCAAAAACGAGAAACCAGAACAGGCAUCUCAAAGCUACAUGCCUUUCACCAUUUUCUCAACAAUGGAUCUAUGGCAACUAUCAACGAUAACCAACCAUACAUCCACAAAUAACUAAAGAGGAAUGAACAUUUAUAAAUAAGAAUGGAUGUAUGGCAUGGUUAAGGCAAGGGCAAGGGCAAAAGCUUCAAUCUCUAUAAUUCGUUAUAUGCAGGCAAUUCGAAUUUUGGGGAGCUAAGCCAAAAUUCUAUACGUCUAAUAGAUUUGAAUAAUAACCUCAUGUUGAGAUAUUUUGCUAUAUUUAAAGAGUUUGGGUGCACACCUACAAAAUUUUACACGAUUUUUUUAUUUAUUUAUAGGAUAAACUAUACCACAGCUAUAUGUAUACUGUGAUCAUUUAACUAACAAUUUUUUUAAUUUGGUCGUCCAACUAAUCAAGAUUUUUUUUGGUCCAUUUCCAUUAAGUGUUGUUAAAUCUCUUACGAGAGGAUAACGUAGCAAUUAAAAAAUCGAUAAUAACAAACAAAUUUAGCUCUUAAUUUUUUACAUAUUAUAUCGAAUUAGUCAUAAAUUUUAAAAAAUUAACCCUCAAAGUUUACAAAUGGUCUCAAUUUGAUCCUUAUAUUUUGUUAAUGAUUUUUAAUUUUAAAAAUAAUUUAUAAAAUUUUAAAUUUUAUAAAAUAAAUUAAAUGCUGACAUGUCAUCUAUGUGGCAAUCCAAGAGUAUGCCACAUUAGCAAAGUUAACAGAUUAUCAAAGAGUUGCUUCUAUUGGUUUGAUUGUAAUUGCUAUUAUCAAUGAGUUGCUUUGUUUUCAUUUAGAUUCUAUAUUUACAAGUCGAAAUUGACAUCUGCUAUGGAGGCUUGUCUAGAUUAUGAAUGAGGGCAUGUUGAGAGCACUUGUAUUCAUUCAUUGAGGAACUGUUUGGUGCGAAAGUGCAAAUUGAAUUGUAAACAUUGGGUGUUUACUUCCUAAGUUCUCAUGAAGAGAAUUUAGAUGUGAAUGUUCUAAUCUUUAGGUACAAUGGUGGGAUUUCUACUUGGGGAGUUUAAAACCCAAAUUCUGCUUGGGCCCAUUAAAACCAAACUAAAAUAAACCAAAUAUAAAAGUCCAAAUAAUAUAGCAGUCCAAUAAUAGUCUAUUAACCCAAUAAGGCCCAAUUACAAUAAAACUCAAAUACCAUUUAGCCCAACUAAACUUAAUAGCCCAAAACCCAAACCCUAGCCCAAUUACAAUGAAGCCCAAAAAAACAAUUUUCAGAAACCCCUAGGGUUUCUGGUACAGUUCAACCGCCGCAACAGUAGCCCAAGUGCGCCUCUGCUCUCCCUCGCACAUGCGCCUCCAUACGCCAGUACCUGCAACAAACACAAACAAACAAGCAGCGAAAAAGAAGGAAACGUGGAAUAGCAAAAAAAGAGAAGCAACAGCAAAUAGCAAAAUAACAGAAAUAGAUUUUUUUUAUUAUUUUUUAUUUAUUUAUAUUUAUUAUUUCGGCUAUAUAAGGCCCAUUGUAAAUUUGUAAAAGGAUACGAAGAGGGAUGUUGACACUAUUUUUUUGUCAAAACGGUGUUGACUUGGGUUUUGAAAACGAAAAUAAAAAUGGGAGUCGCCACCAAUCCUUUUUGAUAAGGUGUGAUUGGAUCACCUUGAAAAGUGGUUGUUUUUAAUAAACGUGUACAGCCCAAUAUUUGCCCAGCCCAAAACUCAAACCCAAUACCCAACCACCCUGGCCCAACUAACCAAACCCUAGCCCAAACCCAUAACAGAAAGAAACAAAAAAAAUUCAAACCCUAGGCGCAGCACCUAGGCCCUUCUACCGCCGCACCUAGCCUCUGUCAAAGUCGGCCACUUGCUCUGCCACUGCCGCACGUCCCAUUGCCAUGCCCACUUGCUCCAUCAGCGUCAAUCACCUGCAAACAAAUAGCAAAAGAAAUAGACCACAAAAAUAGGAGCAGGGGGGAUUUUGUGUUUUUUUUUCGGUAUAAAAAAUCGAUUGCAAACCAUUGUAAUGGGGGGAUUUUUUUUGAAAAUAAUAAAAAGAAAACGGUUCAGAAAAAAAGAAAAGAUUCAAGGUUGUUUUCUUAUUUUUGUUUUUGUUUUUUGUUUUUUUUCUUCUUGAUUUUUUUAUUUCGAAAUAUUAAAUAAAAAAAGAAAAAAGGAGGUUUUUCUUACCUUUUCGCCGUUGUCGGAGUGCUCGGGGGGCGAAGGUUUGCAUCGGAGGGAAAAAGGGGAAACUUUUGGUCUCUUCGCCACCGUGCACGGCGGCACCGGCGGCCGACACGAUGGCCAAUGGUCGGGCCCUUGGCUGGAGAAGGGAGAGAAGGGAGAGUGUUUUUUGAAGUUUUUUUUUUUUUGAAAAGGAGAAGAAGAAUGAAAUUUUUUUUAAAACAAAAACUGACUUAAAUAGGCUUCCAAAACAACGUCGUUUUGGGCAACCUUCUCAAGCACCAAAACGGCGCCAUUUUAAGGCCGACCCGCAUGUGACCCGACCCCCUCCAGGGGGAUCCGCGUGUUUUCAAUGGAAGGGCUAAUUGCACUUUUAGCCCUUCCGCUUUUUAAUGUUUUCACAAUCAUGAUUUUUUACAUUUUUAAAUUUACCCCGUUAGUUUAUUUCGGAUUUCAAUUUAGGCUUUUGUGAAACUACGUCGUUUUGGAGGAGAAGGGAAAAUUUCCCUUCCAGUCCCCCAUGUUAUCCGCGCGUUCAAAUAAGUCUCUUCUUUUCAUUUAUUUUAAAUCCGGCCCCAUUUUUUUUGUUUUUAGUUCAAUUUAGUCCAUGUUUUAGCUAUCUUAUUAUUUAAUUAAUUUUUUCUAUUAUUAUCAUUAUUAUACUACACCAUUUGUAAUACCCAAUUGUUGCCCGGGCCCAAAUACAUUUGGCCCAAUUGGCCCAAAAUUAACCCUAGCCCACAACAUGUUUUCAGCAGCAAUGGAAGCAGAAGCCUAGGGCACGCCGCACGUUCUCCAUCUGCAGUAACGGCUCCAUCAUCCCACGUCGCAAUCACCCACGUUCAGCGAUCCCUCGCGUCUACCAUGCACGUUCGUCCUACAAACUAACCACGAACAACAAGAUAUACACGCAAAAAAAAAACCUUGUAAAAGGGGAUUCGGCUAUAUAAAGUAAAUUGAUUCUUUGUACGAGGGGGAAGACAAAUUUGGAUUGAAAGAUUAAAGAAAAUAAAAGAAAACAGAAAAGGAAGAAUUUUGGAGGUGUUUUUAUUUUUCUUUUGUUUUUUUUCUCUGUUCCUUUAUAUAUUUUAUUUUAUUUUUCUUGUACUUCUUAAAACAAAGAUAAACGAAAAAGGAGAAAGAAAGUUACCGUCGUGAGAGUCGUCGGAGGGCGUCCUCGCUUCGUCGGAGUCUGAAACGACAGAGGGAAAGAGGAGUUGCGACGUAAUUUCAAGUUGGCAGAAAGAAUAAUGGUUUUAGGGUUUCAAAAAGGGGCUUUUAUCGAGUGUUUAAACGGCGCCGUUUAAGCCUUUAACCCGUAUGACCCGACCCGCGCAUGUAGGAUCCGCGCAUUUCUCUCAAAUGGAAAAUUUUCGCGAUUGGUCCUCUGUUUUUAUAACAUGCUUAAAUUGAUUCUUUCAUGUUUUCUUAAAUGUGGCCGUAUUUUCCAUUGUUUAUUUUUAAUUUGGUCCAGGCUCGCUGUUGUUUUGGAAGGCUUGGAACAUUUCCGAAUGGGUCCUCUAUGUUAUGCGCAUUUUACAAAUUUGCUCUCUGUUUAAAUUUAUUUUUGUUUUUUUCCUUUUAAUUUUGUUUUGAUUACAAUUUAAAUUUUAGUAUUUGUUUUACUAAUUAAGUUUAAUUAUAGUUUGUUUUAUUAUUAUCAUUAUAAUUAGUAUUAUCAUUAUUAUAUUUACUCAUGCAUACGCACUUUAUAAUAUAUAUGUAUAUAUUUUAAAUGUUUUUAUAUUCAUAUAUAUAUAUAUUAUGUAUAUUUUGUUAUAUUUAUUUUCAUAGCUUUUAUAUACAUAUAUAUAUUUAUAUUUUAUAAUAUUUAUACAUUUUUCAUAUUUUAUAACUUAUACAUAUAUACACGCAUAGGUGUUAAUGUAUAUAUGUAUAUAUUUUGAAUGUUUUUAAAUAUAUAUACAUAUUUUAUUAUUAUCUUAUUUUCUUAGUUUAUAUAUAUAUAUAUAUAUACAUUUACAUUUUAUAAUACAUAUACAUUUUUCCAUUUUAUAUUUCAUACAUAUAUACAUUUUCUUUAUGUUAUAUACAUACAUAUUGUUUUUAUAGUAUAUAUAUACUUACUUUUUUUGCUUCAUUUUAUAUAUACAUUUAUAUACAUACAUAUUCUCAUACACAUAUAUAUAUUUUCAUAGUUUAUUUAUAUAUUAUAUUUAUAUAUAUAUAUUAUUUUACUUUGUAAAUCUAUACACAUAUACAUACUUUUAUAUUUUUAUCUUAUUCUCAUAAAUUUCACAUACAUAUGUAUACAUACAUAUUUUCUUAGAAAUUAUAAUAAGUUUUUGUUUUGUUUUAUAUAUUUCAUUUUUUAUUAUUUUAUAUAUAUAUAUAUAUAUACUUGUAUAUACAUGUUUUAUUAUAUACAUAUUUUUAAAAUUACUUAUAUAUCUUAUUUUAUUUUGCGAGUACAUAUACAUAUAAUUUAAAUUAAAAUAAUGGUUUCAUGUUAUACACUAACAUUUUAUCAUACUUUUAAAGAAAAUAUAUUUUGUUUUCGUUAAGCAUUAAAGUCAUCGUAUUUAUAAAUUUCUAAAAUAUUUGGCCUUCAUGACUCUCGAGAAAAUAAUCGUGUCCUAACGUAUUGGAUUUCGAUUAUUUUUCGACGAAUUUAGAAGGCCAAGUAUUUAUUUUUUUCAAUAAGAUCACACAAAUUUCAAAUAAAAGCUUAUUCUCGGGAAUUCAAAAAUAUCGGGUCCUAACUUACUGGUCAUGACAUUUCGUCCUCUCGAAAUAAGAAUUUCUAAAAUAAAAGGAAAUAUGCGAUAUUUGGAAUUUUGAGAAAUUGUGCCCUAACGUAUUGGGUUUCGAUUUUCUUCAUUCAACCUAAAUAACCGAAUAUCUUUCUUAGAUUUAACUAUGUGAGUUUUAAAAUCAAAAGACAAACUUAAAUUUAAAGAUUUAAAAAUAUUGCGCCCUAACGCACUGGGUGUGAUGUUUUAUCUCUUUGAAAUAAGAAUGUUUUAUUAUUUUAAUUCAUUCACAAGUUAAAAGUUUUCAUUCAAAAUCUUUUCAAAUUUUCGACACCAAGACAUUAAACAAUCAAUUUGGUACCGAUUUUGGGCGUUACGAGGGUGCUAACCCUUCCUCGUGCGUAACUGACUCCCGAACCUGUUUUCUCAAAUUUCGUAGACCAAAUUUAUUUUUAAGGUGAGCCGAUCACACCUAAAUCAUGGAUCGGUGGCGACUCCAAUUUUUGUUUUCAAAGUCGAUAACUAAAUUUUUGUUUUCAAAAAAAUGGUUUCAACACCAUUAAUAUUAUAUUAUUAUUGUUAUUAUUAUUUCUUCAUCUAUAUAUAUAAUUUUUAAUUUUCCAAUCUUGUUAUAUAUAGAUAGCAUAUGUUUUAUAAUAUAUAUAUACAUACGUAAUUUUUUAAUUUUUACAAAUAUAUAUACAUACUCAUAUAUUUUAUAUAGUUUUUAUGUAUAUAUAUAUAUGUGUGUGUGCAUACUUACAUAUACUUUCAUAUUCAAUAAUUUUACAAUAUAUAUACAUAUAUAUUUUUCAUAUUUUCAUAAGUUUGUGUACAGACUUAUACAUAUAUAUUUUAUUUUAUUUUAUUUUUCUUCAUAAAUGUAGAUAAAUGCUUGUAUUUACGCAAUUUUAUAUUAUGUAUAUACAUUUUUAUAUUACUUGUAAUCAUGUGCAUACGCAUACAUAUAUAUAUAUAUGUGUGUGUACAUGUAUAUGUUUUAUAAUUUAUUUCUAUAUACAUGCACAAACCUAUAUGUAUAUUUAUAUUUUUUAUACAUAUCUAUAUAUAUGUAUAUACUUACAUACACUCUUCAUAUUUCAUAACUUAUAUACUUAUAUAUCUAUACCCAUGCCCCAUGUCCAUAAAUAUGUACUUAUAUAUUCUUUAUGCUUUUAAUAUAUAUAUUUCCUUGUAGAUAUUUUCUCUGUUUUAUGACUCGUGUAUACUUAAACAUAUUUUUAUAUUCUAUGUUUUUAUAUACAUAUAUGAGUGUAUACUCAUAAAUUAUAUAUGCACAUUUAUAUAUAUAUCUAUAUACGCAUACUUAUUUUUGUAAAUACAUGUAUAUAAAAACAUACUUUUGUGUACCUUUUAUAAUUUAUAUAUAUAUAUAUAUAUGUAUGUUAUGUAUUUGUUUACUUACCUGUUUAUAUAAUAAUUUUAAAAGAUACAUCUAUAUAUGUAUUUUUACAUUUUUAUGAUUUUGUGUAUAUACACACACAUAUAUAUAUCUUUUCACAUUUCCAUAAUUUUAUUUAUUUUCUUUGUUUUAUUCGUGUUCAUGUUAUUUAGAAUGAAUGUUUUAAUUUUAUUGCUUAUACGUUUGCUAUUUGUACUAUAUUAGUUUGUCUUUGUAUUUAUUUUAUUUUGUAGACCUUGCUUGUAUUAUUUUACUUACAUCAUCAUAAUUGUCAUUCCAUUACGUCAAUUUUUACUUAGAUUUCAAAAAAGAAAUUUUAAAAAAAUAAGUAAUACUUGAUAUUUGGGAUCUUCGAGAGAAUCGAGCCCUAACGUAUUGGGCUCCGAUUUUCUUUGUCGAACCUAAAUAAUCGAGAUUACUCUUUCAAAAAAUAAUAAAAUGUUCAUUAUCGGGAAUUCAAUAUGUUGUGUCCUAACGCAUUGGAUAUGACCCGUUGUUUUCCCGAGAGGAGGAUUUUUUUUCUAAAAAAUAAUAAAUGCAAUAUUCAAUGUUCAGAAUUUUGAGAAAUUGUGCCCUAACGUAUUGGGUUGCCUUUUUUCCUGACUUAAACAAUUGAAUAUCCUUUUAAACUUUAUUACACAAGUCUUUUUUCAAACAUAAGCUUUAAACGACCUCGGAAAUUAAGAAAAGAUCAAGUCCUGACUUACUGUGCCUGAUCCCUUUUUUCUAAAAUCCGAGAUAGCCAAAUAUCUUUUAAAUAAGCAUUUUUUAUUCGCGUAUCGAGAAUUCGAGACAUUGUGUCCUGACUUACUAGAUAUGAUUCUCUUUCUCGAUUAACGUGAAAUAUGCCUCUUUUCCUAAAAUUUUUUAACAUUUUAAUGCCAGAAUCAUAUUUUUAAAGUUUUUAAUUUUCAACAUUAAGACAUUAACUAAUCAAUUAGGUACCAAUAUUGGGCGUUAUGAGGGUGCUAAUCCUUCUUCGUACGUAACCGACUCCCGAACCCGUUUUUCUAAAUUUCGUGGACCAAACUCGUUGUUUUAAUAAAAUUAAAUUAUUUAUUAAAAACAAUCAUUUUUCAAGGUGAUCCGAUUACACCUCGUCAAAAAGAUCGGUGGCAACUCCCUUUUUUUCGUUUUCAUUUUUAAAUCCAAGUCAACCCCGUUUUCAAAAAAAAUGGUGUCAACAAAACGAUUUGAUUUUAUUAAAACAACAGUUUUGGUCCAUAAAAUUUAGAAGAAUGGGUUCGGGAGUCGGUUACGUACGAGGAAGGAUUAGCACCCUCGUAACGCCCAAAAUUGGUACCUAGUCGAUUAAUUAAUGUCUUAGUGUCGAAAGAUUGAAAACUUUGAAGAGAUUUAAAAAUACGAUCCUUUAUUGAAAUGCUAAAAAUAUUCGAAAAGAAAAAAGGGCAUACUUUAUGUUGAUCGAGAAAUAGAAUUGCAUCCCGUAAGUUAGGACACAAUGUCUUGAAUUCCCGAUGCACGAACGAAUGCCAAGAUUUAUUUAUUUGAAAUAUAUUUGAUUAUUUCGUGUUUAGGAAAGAUAUCAUGUCCCGUGAGUUAGAACACGAUCUUUUGUUAAUUCCUGAGUGCAUUUAAAAACUUUAUUUUGAAAUGAUUCGCGUAUUUAGAUUCAUCGAGAAAAUCAAAAUCCCGUAAGUUAUGAUACGAUUUUUUCGAAUAUCAUAAUACGAAAAGAAGAACAAAUUUUGAUAUAUUAAGUAAAGUAAAACACAAUGUCGUAAAAAAUGCGAAAACGAAUUACAUUGGAUACGCAUACGGAAUAAUAAUGAAUACGGUAGCGUAACUUAAUAUGAACGAUAAUAUAUAAAAAAACGAAUUAAUAGCAUGCUGAAUAACAAGUAUAUAAGUAGAUAAGCGAGAAUAAGCGAAUAAAUAAUUGAAAAAAUGCAAAAGGGUAUAUGCAUACGUGUAUAAAGUAUAAGAUAUAAUAAGAAAUAUGCAAGCAUGUAUAUAUGAAAAUUAAAAAUAUGUAUACAAAGACAUAUAGAUAAAGUAAGAUUUAAAGUAUUUAGAUAUGUAAAUUAAGAAAAUAAAAAAUAAAAAUACGUAUAUAACGGCAUAUAUAAGAUAUAUGAAAAAUAUAUUUAUAUAUAAAAAUUAAGAAAUACGUGUAAUAUAUACAUAUAAGAUAUAAAGGGUAUACAUAUAUGAAAACUAAAAAUACGUGUAUAAGGAUAUAUAUAUAUAUAUAAUAAGAUAGAAGAUAUAUAUAUAUAUACGAAGAUAAAAAACGUAUAUAAAGAUAUAUAUAAUAUAAGGUAUAAAAUGUAUAUAUACAAGUAAGUAUUUAUAUAUUUAUAAAAAAAAGAUGUAUAUGGAUGUGUAGAUAAAUAUAUAUAUAUAAAUUAUAGAAUACCAAAGUAUGUAUAUGUAUAUUAUAAAAAAAAUAAGUACAUUAUAGAAACAUUUGCGUGUAUAUAUAUAUGGAUAACAAAAUUUGUUGUUUAAAAAGUGUAGAUAGGUAAAUAAUUAUAAUAAUAUUAAUGAUGUAAUGUGAUAGUAAUAAUAUUAAUGAUAAAUAAUGAUAAUAAGUGGAUGAGAGAUAUGAAAAUAAUAAUAAUAAUAGUAAUAUCAGUGAAAAUAUUAAUAAUAUUAAAUAAAUAAUAAUAACAAUAUUAACAAUAAUUUAUAAUUAUGUUAAUAGGAACAAAAUAACAAUAAUACUAAUAAUAAUAAUAAUAAUGCUAAUAAUAAUAAGUGUCGAAACCGUUUUUUUUGAAAACAAAAAUUUUAGUUGUCGACUUUAAAAAACAAAAUUGGAGCCGCCACCGAUCCUUUAUUAAGGUGUGAUCGGCCCACCUUAAAAGUAAUUUUGGUCUGCGAAAUUUGAGAAAACAGGUUCGGGAGUCGGUUACGCACGAGGAAGGAUUAGCACUCUCGUAACGCCCAAAAUUGGUACCAAAUUGAUUUUUUAAAAUGCCUUAGUGUCGAAAAUUUGAAAUGAUUUUAAAAGGAAACUUUUUAUUUCAUGAAUGGAUUAAAAUAAUAAGACAAUUCUUAUUUCAAAGAAAUAAAACACCACACCCAGUAAGUUAGGACACAAUGUUUUUAAAUCUUCAAAAUACUCGAAUAUUGCCUUUUGUUUUUGAAAAUUCUUAUUUCGAGAAGAAAAUGUCAUGACCAGUAAGUUAGGACCCAACAUUCUGAAUUCCCGAGAAUAAGCUUUUAUUUAAAAUUUGUGAAUUUGUUGCAAAACAAAUACUUGGCUUCCUAAAUUCAUCAAAAAAUAAUCGUGAUCCAAUAAGUUAGGACACGAUCUUUCACGAGAAUUAUGAAUACCAAAUAUUUAAAAUUAUAAAACAGGAUGACUUAAAUUCCUUGAGAAAAUCAAAAAUAUAUUUUUAAAAUGGAUGCUGAAAAGGGUUAAGGUAAAACAUGGAACAGGUACCCUAAUUUCAAACAUGAAUGGAUAAAUAUUUACAAAUAUAUACAAAUACAAUAUACAAGUAAAUUUACAAACAAAAAAGAAGGAACGAAAUACAUCAAGCCCCAAAAAAAAUGCAUGUAUAUGUAUAUAUGUAUAUGAAAAUUAUGAAAAUAAAAUAAAGAUAAAAAAUAUAUAUGUGUAUAUAUUUACAAAAUAAAAAAAUGUAUAAGUAUAUACAUAAAAUACAAAACACAUAAAAGUUUUUUUUUUAAAUAUAUAAAAACAGAUGUAUAAAAGAUACGCAAGUAUUCAAAAAGUUUGAAAAAAAAAUACAUAUAAAAAAAUGUAUAUAUUUCAUAUAAAAAUAUGCGUAUGUACUACAUGAAAAAAAUGCAUAUAUAUACAAAUUAUGUAAAUACCAUGCGUAUAAGAAUAUAGAAAUAAUGAUAAUAAUCAUAAUAACAAAUAAUAUAACAAUAAUAAAUAUUUAAAAAUAAAAAAUAAGAAAAAUAGCUAAAAUGAGUUAAAUUGAACUUAAAAACGUAAAUUGGGGGGAAUUUUGAAUAAAAUUUUAAAAGAAAGGGGCCACUUGAACACGCGCGCAAUUAUGGGGGACUAAAAGGGAAAUUAUUCCCUCCCUCCAGAAACGCUGCGCAGCAGUGGGCUAAAUUGAAAUAAAAAUAAAAUGCGCGGCCCAAUUUCUAAUAAAAACAAAACAAAUUUAAUUGAAAUGUGCUGCAAACAGGAGGGGCCAAUUUCGCAAAUAGCCCAUGUGACGUCAGAGCGCGCGGAUCCUCCCCUUCGGGUUGGGUCACCGCGCGGGUCAGGCCCUGGACGAAACGGCACCGUUUUGAUUGUUAAUUAAAACAAUUUUCCUCAUUUUCAAAAUCAUUUAGAACCGAAUGAGGAAAAAAAAUAAAAAACUCAACAGGUGCUCUGCUAGGGUUUUAUCCCUAGCUUCCUCGCACUACUCCUCAGCCCACGCCGGCGCGCCGAUCACGACGGAGAUGGCCACCGGUCUGGCGUCCUCGGUGAAUGGGGUAAAAUCCUUCCCCCUUUUCCUUGUUUUUCCUUUUUUUUAAAAACGCAAAAAAAAAAGAAAAGAUAAAAAAAUUAAAAUAAAAUAAAAACUACAAAACUCGAUUCACCUUUAAAAAAAUAAAUUUGUAUUCUCUGUUUUUGCUUUUGAUUUCUUUGUCUAUCACUCCGUCCGUAAUAUCCGUCCCCUUUACAGAUUUUGAUAGGCCUUUUAUAGGCCAAAAGAAAGAGAAUAAAUUAAAAACAAAUUGUUUUCUUUGUUAUUUUUUAUUUCGGGACUCUUUGAAUCUGUUUUGCUGCAGGUGUUGUCCGCGCGAAUGACGUGUGUGGGGAGAAAGUUGGCCCCGAGACAUACGACCCUUGGAAUCUGCUGGAGGCGGGGAGCGCGACGCGGGGCUGCUGGGCGCACUUGAAGGCUUGCUGCGGCGCUCCUUAGAGCUAGGGUUCCUUUUGUUUUUUUUUUUGUGUUCUGAGCCAGGAACAGUUUUGGGUCGAUUGGGCCACUUAUUUGUUGGGUCUGCCAUGCCCUUUUUGUUUAAUUUGGACCCAGGCCAAUUGGGCCUUAUUACAGCUGCCCAUCUUUGCUCAUUGUCAUGUAAUGGGAAUAGAGCAAAGACUACAGGGCCCAAUUGUGCCUGGUCCUGCAGAGCCUCAACUUUUUCAACGCUUCUCAAAAGAACAAAAUCUGCUAUCCUUAACCUGCUCCACUGCAACUUCAGGGAGGUAAGACUUAUAGCUUCAAUUUGUUCUGUUACGACUUAAGGGUAAAUCUGAUGUGAUCUGCUCUACUGCAACUUCAGAGAGAUGAGAUCUGCGAUUUUAAUCCACUCCAUUGCAACUUCAAGGAGAUAGGAUUGGUUACUUUUGUUUGCUCCACUGCAACUUCAAGGAGAUAAGACUUGUAUCUUCGAUCUACUUCACCACCGGUAUGGGAAGACAAGAUCUGCUUUCUUUGAUCUACUUCAUGCCAGUACAUGAAGACAAGAUCUGUUUUCUCCGAUCUACUUCACGUCAAUACAUGAAGACAAGAUCUUCUUUUUUCGAUCGAUUCCACUGCCGAUCAGGGGAAUAGGAUUACUAGCUUCAAUAUACUCCACUGCAACUUCAAGGAGGUAAAAUCUGCCAUCUUUGGCCUGCUUCUCUGUCAGUAUAGGAAGGUAAGAUCUGUUUUCCUACUUCGCCACCAGUAUGGGAAGAUAAAAUCUAUAUAUUCGAUCCACUUCGCUACCGAUAUAGGAAGACAAGACCUACUAUCUUUGAUCUGUUUCACGCCGGUACAUGAAAACAAGAUCUGCUUUCUUUGAUCUGCUUCGCCACCAGUAUGGGAAGGCAAGAUCUGGUAUCUCUGAUCUACUUCACGCCAAUACAUGAAGACAAGAUCUACUUUCUUUGAUCUGCUUCGCCACCAGUAUGGGAAGGCAAGAUCUGCUUUCUUCGAUCUACUCCACCACCUGUACGGGGAGACAAGAUCUGGUAUCUAUGAUCUACUUCACGCUAGUACAUGAAGACAUGAUCUGUUAUCUUUCAACCUGCUCCACUGUUGCUCAGGGAGAUAAGGCUCUAUGAUUUCAUCAAUCUUCUCUCUGUGAAACAUGACCUGUAUAAUUCACUUUAUGAGCCUAAUUAUGCCUAAUGAUUAGGAUGUUAUGAUCAGAAUGAAUCAAAUGCUCCUAACUAGGCGUGUAUGAAUGGCAUUUGAACGUUAUGUCAUGAAAAAUAAAUAUUGAAUGUUUAAAGUCAUUAUUGCUCAUUAAGGCUUCCUUCGUGGCAACAACGCUUCGUCAAAACUUGAAAAAUUUAAAAUCUCGACUCUUAGCUCCUAGAUCCCACCUUUUAACCCGGUGAAGGUCUAAACAAUAGUCAUGUUUCAGGUUCCUAAGUUAUUUAAAGAUUUCUAGAGUAAUAUGAAAACUUCCUUUGUGAAAGUUUUAUUAGUCCAUUAAUCGUCAUUCUAAUGUAACAUGCUUGCGAAAAGAUCAUAACGAUGGAUAAAACAAGAUUAGUUUGGGAGCAUAGCUCGCAAUGGAUUGUCAAAGAUAGAGGAAUUUCCUGAGGAUAUUUAUAUUGGAGAAGAAGAAUGAAAUAUUCUAAAACAACGAAUUUAAUACAAAUACUAUGAUCAGGUGCCCCAGAUAUCUCUGAUUCGAAUUUCUCUAUACAAACUUUUUUUUUGAAGACCCUUCUGAAUUCAACAUGUGUUUAGAAGAUUCACAGUAGUUUGUUGAUGCCUCAAGAUGUCGUCCACUCUUUUCUGCCAAUUUAGGUGCAACAAGACUACCACGUGACGAACAAAAAUUUGAGCCGUCUUUUUCAGGUUUUCAACUCAAAUCCCCUUCGGUCUUAAGGUGCCCUUUGCAAGUUUUCACCUUAGCCUCUCAUUUCUUUUUUUUCUUUUUUUUUUUUGGGGGGAUCAAAGCGCCCUUUGCGGGUUUUCACCUUGGUUCCCUCCCUUUUUCAAGUAAAGUACCUCUUCACUGAAUCUGAAUUUACCGGAUUAGGCAAGUUUUUUCCAUCCAUUUCAGCCAGGAUCAAGGCUCCUCCAGAAAAGGCCUUUUUUACAACAUAAGGACCCUUCUAAUUCGGCAUCCAUUUCCCCCUAAAAUCCUUUUCUAGAGGAAGAAUUUUUCUCAACACCAGGUCCCCCUCGUGAAAUUCUCUGGGUCGGACUUUCUUGUUGUAGGCUCGCAUCAUUCUUUUCUGGUACAUCUGACCAUGCUGAAUAGCCUUUAGCCUCUUUCCCUCUAUCAAGUUCAACUGAUCGUAUCGAGAUUGAACCCAUUUCGCUUCAUCCAAUUGUAGCUCAGACAAAACCCGGAGAGAAGGGAUUUCAACUUCGAUGGGCAAGACUGCCUCCAUGCCAUAGACUAAGGAGAAAGGCGUUGCCCCGGUGGAGGUCCUAGUUGACGUUCGAUAAGCAAGGAGAGCAAACGGUAAUUUAUCGUGCCAGUCCUUGUAAGUCUCAGUCAUCUUCCCUACAAUCCUCUUUAUAUUUUUAUUGGCCGCUUCUACUGCACCAUUCAUUUUCGGGCGAUACGGCGAUGAAUUGUGAUGUCUGAUCUUGAAUUGACUGCAGACCUCUGCUAUUGAGUUGUUAUUCAAAUUCAACGCAUUGUCGGAUAUGAUUCUCUCAGGCAUUCCAUACCGACAUAUAAUCUCCCUUUUCAAGAACUUACUGACUGAUGACUUUGUAACGUUAGCAUACGAAGCAGCCUCUACCCAUUUGGUGAAGUAGUCAAUAACCACGAAUAUGAAACGAUGCCCAUUUGAAGCCUUCGGCGAUAUUGGCCCGAUGACAUCCAUACCCCACAUGGAGAAAGGCCAUGGAGAAGUCAUGACAUGAAGAGGCGAAGGUGGUGCAUGCAUUUUAUCACCAUAGAUUUGACAUUUAUGGCACUUUUUGGAAUAACUGAUGCAAUCCCCUUCCAUGGUGGACCAGUAAUACCCGAAUCUCAUAAUCUGUCUAGCCAUUGUGAAUCCACUAGCAUGCGUUCCGCAGAUGCCCUCAUGGACUUCCUCCAGGAUUUUAUUUGCUUCCACGACGUCCACACAUCUUAACAGAACCUGAUCUUUUCCCCUCUUGUAUAAGAUCCCCCCAUCUAAGACGUAAUCAAUGGCCAAUCUUCUCAGAGUUCUCUUUUUAUUCUCUGUUGCUUGGCCAAGAUACUCACGAUUUUUUACAUAUCGUAGUAUAUCUUGAUACCAAGGACUGUCAUCGAUUUCUCCUUUUUCAAUAUUGUAACAAUGAGCCGGGUCUUCAUAGAUACUCAUUUGGAUUGGCUUCAUAUCCUCAUAUCUGUUCACCUUGAUCAUGGAGGCUAAAGUAGCUAGUGCAUCAGCCAUCUGGUUCUCGUCCCGUGGGAGAUAGCAAAAAGUGAUGUCCUCAAACUUCUUAAUCAAUUCGAGGACCAACUUUCGAUAACUGACUAAUUUGGGAUCUCUCGUUUCCCAUUCACCCCUGAGCUGAUAUAUCACCAAUGUCGAAUCUCCAUAGACCUCUAACACUUUGAUUCUUCGCUCUAUAGCUGCACGAAUCCCCAUGAUGCAUGCUUCGUACUCUGCCAUGUUGUUUGUACAAUCAAAAUCCAAUUUGCAAGUGAAAGGAUAAUGAUCACCAUUUGGGGAUACUAAGACUGCCCCAAUUCCAUUGCCCACAGCAUUUGAGGCUCCAUCAAAGUUCAGCUUCCAACUGCGGCCUUUUUGGGGAUUUUCUUCAGUAGCGGCUAUACACAUCAGGUCUUCAUUCGGAAAAUCAAAACUUAACGGUUCGUAAUCUUCCAAAGCCCUGCUAGCCAGAAAGUCAGCAAUUGCACUCCCUUUCACAGCCUUUUGGCUCACAUAGAUAAUAUCAAAUUCAGACAGUAAGAUCUGCCAUCGGGCCAUCCUCCCAUUCAAAGCAGUUGACUCCAUCAUAUACUUUAACGGGUCUAACUUUGAGAUUAGCCAAGUCGUGUGGUAUAACAUAUACUGUCUUAAUCUCUGAGUUGUCCAAAUCAAGGCACAACAUAGCUUCUCAAUAGGCGAAUAUCUCAUUUCACAGUCAGUGAAUUUCUUGCUGAGAUAAUAUAUCGUCUUUUCUUUUCUCCCUGUUUCAUCAUGUUGGCCUAGCACACACUCCAUAGAAUUAUCAAAUACUGUCAAAUACAAUAUCAGGGGCCUAUCCGGGCUAGGUGGUGAGAGCACUGGAGUAUUAGACAAAUACUGCUUCACCUUGUUAAAGGCUUCUUCGCAUUCUUCAUCCCAAGUACCAGGAUUAUGUUUCUUCAGAAGACGAAAUAUAGGGUCACAUUUCUCGGUUAGUUGUGAAAUGAACCUAGCAAUGUAGUUCAGUCUUCCGAGGAUCCUCGAACUUCUCUCUGAGUGCGGGGUGAAGGUAAAUCCCAUAUUGCCUUCACUUUGUCUGGAUCAAUCUCGAUUCCCUUUCCACUGACCAAAAUGCCUAACAAUUUUCCUGACCCGGCCCCAAAAGUGCACUUCACCGGAUUAAGCUUGAGCUGGAACUUUCUCAAUCUUAAGAAUAAUUUUCUCAAGACCUGCACAUGUUCCUCCUCCGUUUUGGACUUCGUGAUCAUAUCGUCAACAUAAACUUCGAUCUCCCUAUGCAUUAUAUCAUGGAACAAGGCUACCAUGGCUCUUUGGUAUGUUGCUCCUGUAUUCUUCAAUCCAAACGGCAUUACUUUAUAACAAAACGUCCCCCAUAACGUAAUGAACGUAGUCUUUCUCAAGUCCUCGGGAUGCAUCUUUAUCUGAUUAUACCCAGAAAAACCAUCCAUGAAGGAAAACAAUGAAAAGCCCGCAGUAUUGUCUACCAAUGUGUCGAUGUGGGGUAAUGGGAAGUUAUCUUUUGGACUAGCCUUGUUCAAAUCCCGAUAAUCCACACACAUUCAUACUUUUCCAUCUUUCUUUGGAACUGGUACGAUGUUAGCCACCCACUCAGAAUACUUGACUUCUUGCAGAAAUCCGGCAUCAAACUGCUUUUGGACCUCCUCCUUUAUCUUCAACACGAUAUCAGGCCUCAUCCUUCUGAGCUUUUGCUGCACUGGCUUGCAAUCUUCUCUUAUAGGAAGACGAUGGACUACGAUGUCGGAAAUCAACCCCGGCAUAUCCUUGUAUGACCAUGCAAACACGUCUUUGAACUCUCGGAGUAAUUCGAUGAGGUCUUGUCUUGUUUUUGCAGAAAUAUCUGACCCGAUCUUCACCUCUUUACCUUCCUCCAAGCUCACAAUUUCUAUUGAUUCCCUAUAGGGUAGGAUUUGUUUCUCGGCCCUUUCUACCAUCUUCAACAAGUCAGGAGACAAAACACGGUCUUCGUCAUCCUUAAAAUCAUGCGAUCCCUCUAAACACGUGUUUCGUUCAAAAGGAGACUCUAAAUUUGUAAGAGUGACAUUCGUAUCAUUGAUAUCGUAGGACCUGUUAUAAAAACAAUAUGGAUUCAGGAAUAUGGUCAUGAAUGAAAUACAGGUGUAGUUUGGGAAAAAUUUAAAAUAAUUGCUCUUAUGGAAAGAAAGAUUUGCUCCAAUAAUGAUUGCAAACAUGAACUUCAUUAAAAUAACGAUUUUCUGGACAUGAGCCUACUUCACAAAGGAAUCCUUAUUACUUCUAGGCUAAAAAGCAAUAAGGGUGUUCUGGACAUUACUCUGAGGGAAUCCUAAAAAUUACAGGUAUCUCUUCUGCAGUCCAGUUGUUUAGCGCCCUUCCCGACUCAUAAGGACGAAUAUCCCGCAAGGUUCUUCCUCCCGUCGCUUCUUCAUACACGGUAUGAAUACUCUCCAACUCCGUGUUAAUACUUCUGACCCUUUGAUAGAGGAAUCCUCCCGAUACAAAAGUCUUGGAUAGGUGAGGAAAGGUCAUGGAUUCCAAUUCGACCUCAUCCCCUGUCAAACGAGCCCUUCUUCUCUCACGCUUCUUUUCUUGCUCUAUCUUCCUCUGCCUAGCAUCUGGCUUGUAUCCUAAGCCAAAACGGUCCUGCUUGUCUUUCAACAUUUGAGCCUCAACUCGGCCCUGAAGAUACUUCCCCAAUCCUUUUCUCGGUAAAACUCCCUUUCCUACUGUCAAUUGCAGACCCAUCUUUGUGGUCUUUGAUAUUCUCGGCAUCGGGAUCUUGUUUCCCUCAAGGAUGAAUGUUGCAUUUACAAAUUCCAAGGAACGGAAAGAGCACUCGAUUGCAUCAUCACUCGUCUCCAAAUAAGGAGCAUCGUUAGUCAUGGAUGCAAUGAUAUCCUCUUCAGCAUCUAUCGUCACUACCCGGCCCUCUGACACCAACUUCAGUUUUUGAUGUAACGAUGACGGUACCGCACCUGCUGAAUGGAUCCAAGGCCUUCUUAAUAGGCAACUGUAAGAAGGCUUGAUGUCCAUAACCAAGAAGUCUACCUCAUAGACAGUUGGGCCGAUUAACAAGGGUAUGUCAAUUCUACCCAUGACUUUCCUCUCGGUGCCAUCAAAUGCUCUCACCAUGUUCUGACACGAUUUCAUAUGCGAACUAUCCACAGGUAGCCUGUUGAGCGUGGAUAGGGGCAAUACAUUUAAUGCCGAUCCGUUAUCUACUAGAACUCCCGGUAAUAUGCAUCCUUUACACCUUGCAGUGAUGUGUAAAGCUCUAGUAGAUCCCAUACCCCCAGGCGGUAUUUCAUCAUCGCUAAAGGAGAUGAAAUUAUCAGCGCUUAUAUUGCCGACCAGUCGAUCCAACUUGUUAACAGAGAUAUCGUCAGCCACAUAAGUUUCAUUUAGCACCUUCAGUAGUGCAUUCCGAUGUCCCUCCGAGUUCAGGAGUAAAGCUAGCACAGAUAUGCGAGUAGGUUGUUUGUGCAGCUGUUCCACAACACUGUACUCGCUAUGCUUUAUGAACUUUAAGAACUCUCUAGCUUCCUCCUCUUUGAUUGGUUCAUUGACCAAUAAUUCGGGUUUGACCACGUUUUUCUUUUUUCCAACUGAAGUUUCCUUUCCUAUUGGCUUGACUCGUGCUUUCAUCUGUUCAUGGUGCCUUCCUUCAUCCUGCUCCUCUCUAUUAAUUACAUCCUCCUUCCCCGGGAUUGUCACAUUACAAUCGUAAUUCCAAGGAACCCUCCUGUUAUCUUUGUAAGUAAACACGGUCGGUUUUUGAAUGAUUACUUUUGGUGUUGUUCGUGCCCCAACCUCACUGUUCUGAGGUCGCGAGAUGAUGACCACAGGACGGUUAACCUUCGGGACCCCCAAUGCCAACUCUGAUGCGCAUACAUCACUUUCCUCUUGAACUCCUUCACAGAAUUUCACCUCCCUAUUGUCCAUCAUGCCUUGUAUCAGGGCUCUGAACUCCGUACAUUCUUGGAUUUCAUGCCCCACUUCAUGGUGGAACUCACAGUAAUUCCUCUUCCUUUCACAGCUUCCUUUUGAGACGAUUAGUCCCCUUUUCACCAUCUCCCUCCAGACCCUUCUCAAAGGAGUCUUUACAUCCGCAAUAUCUGCCUUGAUUCUUCUGUCUUCGCCCACCAUAUUUACCCCACCAUCAGUGUGGUCUGGUAAUAGAUUUUCUGCCUUGGUCGCGUCGUCAAAUUUAACGACUCCCAUACCAAUGAGCCUUUCAACCAACUUCUUAAAAGCCAUACAGUUUUCUAUAGAAUACCCCGUUAUUCCCACAUGAUAGUUGCACUGUGCAUUUGCAUCGUACCAUUUGGGAUACGGGGGUUGCAGGGGCUUCAGAUAAAAAGGGGAAACUACGUGUGCGUCAAAUAAAUUUCGGUAUAGUUCCCUGUACGACAUAGGAAUUGGCGUGAAUUGGGGCCUCUCAACAUUUCGCCUUGUACUGACCUCCUGUCUCGACGAGUUUUGCUGACUGGCAGCCACCUUUCCUGGCUGACUCACUGUUACUGACUUCGAGUAACCCUUGUUGUACAUGCUCGUGUUGUUCACCUCACUCUCCUUCCUCCUCGAGGCCGAUCUUCUGUUACUCUCUCCAGCAUCGAUCUUCCCACUCCUGAUGGCAUUCUCAAUCAUCUCGCCGUUCAUGACUAUGUCAGGAAAGCUUUUUGUGGCACUUCCUAACAUAUGUGUAAUGAACGGUGCCUUCAGGGUGUUAAUGAACAACAUGGUCAUUUCCUUUUCCAGGAGCGGUGGCUGAACUUGGACUGCGACCUCCCUCCAUCUCUGUGCGUACUGCCUGAAGCUUUCACUCGGCUUUUUCUCCAUGUUCUGAAGGGUGAUUCUGUCAGGAGCCAUGUCAGUCACAUGACUAUAUUGUUUCAUGAACGAUUGUGCCAAGCCCCUCCAUGAUCCAAUCGUGGCACGACUCAACUGAUUGUACCACUUGGAUGCUGCCCCAGUAAGGCUGUCUUGGAAACAGUGUAUCAAGAGUUGGUCGUUGUUAACAUAACCCAUCAUUCGCCUGCAGAACAUGGUGAUGUGAGCUGCUGGGCAGCUUGUCCCAUUGUACUUUUCAAAUUCAGGCAUCUUAAAUUUAUGAGGGAGUACUAAAUCUGGCACUAAACUCAGCUCUUUCGCGUUAAUGUCUCAAUAACUCUCAGCAACCUCCAUCGCCUUGAACUUCUCUUCGAGCCACCUACAUCUUUCUUCCAACUGCUUCGGUAACUCUUCCUUCACUCUUUCCUUCUCAACCACUUCAUCAAAGUCAGGGAUGGCAGAGUUAAUAGGAUUAUUUUCGGGAUUAAAACCCGGUCCAGUUUGGAGGUUCAAAAUACCAGCUCGAAAUUACUGAGGCAUGAUGGUGACAGUAGAUUUGCGCGGGUAUUCAGCUUAAGCUCGCUCAUGUGGAGGGGUGAAACCUGGAGGAUAGAAAAGUUCAUCAUCGUUUCCCUCAUCAACAUCUGCUAUGGGGCCCUUUCCUUUGUCACCUCCCUUUGUUAUUAAUCGGGUUAACUUUGCCACUAUAUCCUCUUGAGAUUCCGGCAUCUUCUCAGACAUUUCUUGCUUCAUCUUGUCAAACCGUUCCUGCAUUUGUAGCUGAAGCCGGUCUUGCAUCUCCUUCUGGUGUUGUUCAAGCUUUUCUAAUCUCUGAUCCAUAUCUUUUGUCUUUGCUCGAGUGCCGUAUCGGUGUCGGGUUGGUUGGUUGGUUUCCAGGUUAACUGAGCAAUAAUUUUAAUUAAUUAGGAUCAAUUAAAGGUUUUGAAUGCAUAUGAUGUGAUGCAUGAGAUGAAUGCAAGAAAGGCGUUAAUUAUGAUUCAAUUCCACUUGGAAAACUUUAUUAGAAAACAAAUCCCUUUACAUAGAAUAGACUACAAAUACGACUUCGCCCUAAUACUUAAGACCUUGAUUUUUUGAAGUAACGAGGCUAACUCCCGUCCCCGGUCUGACUCUAAUUCAUACUUUACGCUCAAUGUGUCAGCUUGUACUGCCAAAGUUUGUAAGUGAUCAGCUACUUCUCGAAUCUGAACCAAGGCUUGUCCCAUAACACGAUCCCUGCUUCUGACCUGAUUCUGGAGAUAGUGAAGCUGUUCGCUUUGAUGAUCUUUGUUUGCCUCCAAAUACUCAAUCCUGGCUUCACCAUUCUGUAAUGCCACUUCUAGUUCUUCUAUAGUUUUCUUCAUUUGCUCGAUUCUGCUUAAACUUGCUUAUAGUUCCGCCACCGAGUUACGAUUUCGGUAUUGAUAAACAAUCUUUUCAAGUUCAGCCACUCUAGCCUUUAAUUUUUCUCUUUCAUCUUGAUUUUCUAACAAAUUCUUCUCGAGCGAUCUGUUUUGCAUCUGGGCUUCCUGGAAUCUUUCUUCCCAUCUACCGGCCUUGGCUUUUUCUUCUUGAACCUCUUGACGCCACUGUUCUGAGGUUUUCCCCAACCCAGCAGUUCUUACUGACAGACGUAGUCUCUUAUAAUCCGUCUUCAAGCUGUUCAGAUCUUCCUCAACUUUACGCUUCCCUUUUCUCAGGCUUUCGGUUUCCUGCUUUUGAACAUCUAUGUCCAACUUUAAAUUCACCUUUUCUUCUUCCAUUUGCUCUAUUUUCUUCUCUAAUUCUGCAUUCCUUCUUUCGAUGUCUUGCUUUAUAAUUUCCAGCUCAGAAGGGACGACGCGCAAAUGCUCCUCUAUCGACUGACUAUUUUUUGAACUUGGCCCAGAAAUGUUGUCAUUAAUCCUCCCAACACGCCAUUCGUUAUAUUCAGAAGUUGUCAUUGGACCCAUGGCUAAUCUCUUCAUUCGGCGAGUCUGAUUCCACGCAUUGGCCAUCUCACGAGCCUUCCUUUUGUAGCCAUCAUCCUUAUAUGAGAAUUCACACUCAGCUAGUCCUUGAGUGGCAGGCACAAACUGUCUUGACCGGUAUUGUCUUAAUACUAGCAAUGGGGCAUAACCAACAGCUCCUCAAAUCCCGAGCAAUGGAACCCAGUCGAAAUCCCCACACCUAUAUAGGAUAUCAUCUGGAAGCAAUCAUGGAGCUCUCCACUCAAUAUCUUCUUCUUGUAGACUCUGAAAGAUCACCAUCCAUUUCUCCUCCAAGAUGUCAUCUCUCCUCGACGUGGCCACUAUCUCUUUCAACGGUGAAUAAUUCUCGGAGAAUACCUGAUAUGAAACCUUAUCAACCUUCCAAAGGUGGUUGUGGAACCACGCAAGUAGUAACUGCGCACAUCCAAUAAAUCUACCAUCUCCCGUUCUUCGACAUGCAUUCAACGAUCUAAAGGUUUCCGCCAAAAUUACCGGGACUAGUGUAACUCCCUUAUCAAGCCGAUCUAACAAAUCAGUGACCGCCUCGUCAAUAUGUCCCAAAAUCUUAGGGAACAAAAUUAGACCAUAAAUACUUAAAGCAAAGACGUCUACUUUCUUCCUCGCAUCUAGGUGUGCUAAAAUGAGGUCCUUCAAACUUUUCCAAGGAAUACACCUACUAUCCCCUUUUUGCUUAAUCCGAGCUGUAACCCACUGCUCACUCAUCCCUGUUAUACUCAUCAACUUCCUCAAUAAGGUUGGUAUAUUCACUGCCUUCGAAUAAAUUCUAUCCACCUGAACCUUCGAACACCGAAGUAAAGCCGUGUACUCCUCUAUUGUAGGCACCAAGUCAACCUUUCCAAAUGUGAAGCAACUGUAGGCCGGAUUCCAAAACUGGGCAAGAGCUCGAAACAAACGCUUGUCUACCUUCAUGUCAAGUAAAUAAGGCAAAUCCCCAUAAUUCAAAUAGAAUAACUGCCUAACCUCAUUAUCCCAUUGAUCCCAAAUUUCCUUCAACUCCUGCAAGUUGUUCUAGGCUGCGCUAACACGAGUGAAGUCCCAUAACUCUGAUAUGUGUCCCACGGCCAAACUGUCACCUUUUUCACGCUGUAUCUUCUCAGACCAAGCCCGGACAGCCGCAUUGUCUUCCACUCUAUCAAGAAACUCAUUUCCCAUGAUAAACUUUCUAUAUGGCAACCGAAUAUGAACCAACGCCUUUACAAUGAAAUGUCAUGCAAUCGUGAUGUCAUGCAAUCAAAGCAAAAUGAAACAAGUCAGUAUCACAUAUAAGAAUAUAAUUACAUAGCAAGAACACUUAUUAGGAAUCUACUAGGGUUUUGGAGUAGUUCUACCUAAGGCAAGUUCCUAAAACUCACUAUAUGAGGUUUAGUUUCAAGAGUAAGGGUACCCGAACCAGCAGAUUCCUCAAUCCUCACCCAUUAUAGGCUCAUAUAGAUCGAGUUCAGUUCAAGGGGACACAUUUCCAUAUGGUUGCACGGAGAUGAAAAUCUCACGAAGACAUAGGUACGGAUGUAUCCCGGAAGCGAUCCACUACCCUGCACAGAGGUGAAAACCUCACGAAGGACUAGUUUCUCGCUCCCACUUAAGGGUGAAAUGCAAAAUGCAAAUGCAAAGUUUCCAAAAUACCAUGAUAAAACAUCAAUGAGCGCAAAGGGAACUCAUGAAUUUUUAAAAACUUUUAAUUUUCGACACAAAGACAAAUAUGAUCAGUUUAUGGCUCGACUCUCAAAGUCCCCAGCGGAGUCGCCAAGCUGUCAAAACCAUUUUUUUUUAAACAAAAAUUUUAGUUGUCGACUUUAAAAAACAAAACUGGAGCCGCCACCGAUCCUUUAUUAAGGUGUGAUCGGCCCACCUUAAAAGUAAUUUUGGUCUACGAAAUUUGAGAAAACAGGUUCGGGAGUCAGUUACGCACGAGGAAGGAUUAGCACUCUCGUAACGCCCAAAAUUGGUACCAAAUUGAUUUUUUAAAAUGCCUUAGUGUCGAAAAUUUGAAAUGAUUUUAAAAGGAAACUUUUUAUUUCAUGAAUGGAUUAAAAUAAUAAGACAAUUCUUAUUUCAAAGAAAUAAAACACCACACCCAGUAAGUUAGGACACAAUGUUUUUAAAUCUUCAAAAUACUCGAAUAUUGCCUUUUGUUUUUGAAAAUUCUUAUUUCGAGAAGAAAAUGUCAUGACCAGUAAGUUAGGACCCAACAUUCUGAAUUCCCGAGAAUAAGCUUUUAUUUAAAAUUUGUGAAUUUGUUGCAAAAUAAAUACUUGGCUUCCUAAAUUCAUCGAAAAAUAAUCGUGAUCCAAUAAGUUAGGACACGAUCUUUCACGAGAAUUAUGAAUACCAAAUAUUUAAAAUUAUAAAACAGGAUGACUUAAAUUCCUUGAGAAAAUCAAAAAUAUAUUUUUAAAAUGGAUGCUGAAAAGGGUUAAGGUAAAACAUGGAACAGGUACCCUAAUUUCAAACAUGAAUGGAUAAAUAUUUACAAAUAUAUACAAAUACAAUAUACAAGUAAAUUUACAAACAAAAAAGAAGGAACGAAAUACAUCAAGCCCCAAAAAAAUGCAUGUAUAUGUAUAUAUGUAUAUGAAAAUUAUGAAAAUAAAAUAAAGAUAAAAAAUAUAUAUGUGUAUAUAUUUACAAAAUAAAAAAAAUGUAUAAGUAUAUACAUAAAAUACAAAACACAUAAAAGUUUUUUUUUUAAAUAUAUAAAAACAGAUGUAUAAAAGAUAUGCAAGUAUUCAAAAAGUUUGAAAAAAAAUACAUAUAAAAAAAUGUAUAUAUUUCAUAUAAAAAUAUGCGUAUGUACUACAUGAAAAAAAUGCAUAUAUAUACAAAUUAUGUAAAUACCAUGCGUAUAAGAAUAUAGAAAUAAUGAUAAUAAUCAUAAUAACAAAUAAUAUAACAAUAAUAAAUAUUUAAAAAUAAAAAAUAAGAAAAAUAGCUAAAAUGAGUUAAAUUGAACUUAAAAACGUAAAUUGGGGGGAAUUUUGAAUAAAAUUUUAAAAGAAAGGGGCCACUUGAACACGCGCGCAAUUAUGGGGGACUAAAAGGGAAAUUAUUCCCUCCCUCCAGAAACGCUGCGCAGCAGUGGGCUAAAUUGAAAUAAAAAUAAAAUGAGCGGCCCAAUUUCUAAUAAAAACAAAACAAAUUUAAUUGAAAUGCGCUGCAAACAAGAGGGGCCAAUUUCGCAAAUAGCCCAUGUGACGUCAGAGCGCGCGGAUCCUCCCCUUCGGGUUGGGUCACCGCGCGGGUCAGGCCCUGGACGAAACGGCACCGUUUUGAUUGUUAAUUAAAACAAUUUUCCUCCUUUUCAAAAUCAUUUAGAACCGAAUGAGGAAAAAAAAUAAAAAAACUCAACAGGUGCUCUGCUAGGGUUUUAUCCCUAGCUUCCUCGCACUACUCCUCAGCCCACGCCGGCGCGCCGAUCACGACGGAGAUGGCCACCGGUCUGGCGUCCUCGGUGAAUGGGGUAAAAUCCUUCCCCCUUUUCCUUGUUUUUCCUUUUUUUUAAAACGCAAAAAAAAGAUAAAAAAAUUAAAAUAAAAUAAAAACUACAAAACUCGAUUCACCUUUAAAAAAAUAAAUUUGUAUUCUCUGUUUUUGCUUUUGAUUUCUUUGUCUAUCACUCCGUCCGUAAUAUCCGUCCCCUUUACAGAUUUUGAUAGGCCUUUUAUAGGCCAAAAGAAAGAGAAUAAAUUAAAAACAAAUUGUUUUCUUUGUUAUUUUUUAUUUCGAGACUCUUUGAAUCUGUUUUGCUGCAAGUGUUGUGCGCGCGAAUGACGUGCGUGGGGAGAAAGUUGGCCUCGAGACGUACGGCCCUUGGAAUCUGCUGGAGGCGGGGAGCGCGACGCGGGGCUGCUGGGCGCGCUUGAAGGCUUGCUGCGGCGCUCCUUAGGGCUAGGGUUCCUUUUGUUUUUUUUUGUGUUCUGAGCCAAGAACAGUUUUGGGUCGAUUGGGCCACUUAUUUGUUGGGUCUGCCAUGCCCUUUUUGUUUAAUUUGGACCCAGGCCGAUUGGGCCUUAUUACAAUAAGGAUAAUAAUAGUAAUAAAAAUAAAAAGGUCAAUUUUGAAAUAAAAUGGAAUUUUAGGGUAAAACACAAAAAAAUAGAUAAAUAUAAUAAAAAAGUAAAAAUAAAAUAAAAUAAAAUAAAAAGAAUGCAAAAAUAUUUAAAGAAAAUGAUAUAAGGACUAAAAUGAAAUUAAAAUAAAACUCCAUGGGAAAAUUUAAAAAGCCAAGAGGACAACAUUGGAAUAGGGCUAAAGCACGGAGGGAUCAAGGGCGCAAAUAUCCCAUUAACCAAAAACACGCGGAUCCUCCCGGUCGGACGGGUCAGGUCGCGGGUCAAGAGCUAAACGACGCCGUUUUGGCGUUUGUUAACCCUAGCCCAAUACUGCGUCAUUUUGUACCUCUAUUUAAACCAAAAAAAAUUUUAAAAAAAAUCAUUUCUACCAUCCCCUUUUAAACAAAUUUAAAAGCCUCCCCUUUUCUCUCUUGGCCCCUCUCUCCCUUUGCCCAUACUCCGACCAAUGGCUCCAGCGCACCUACACCGUAGGCGGCGACCGGAUGUGCAAAACCGAGUCUUUCUAGCCCCGUUUGAAGCCGAUCAUUCCUUGGAACCCGGAUUCGAGGUUGGGUUCGUUAAAAAAUAGGCCAAACCCGAAGGAAAAAGGAGGAAUCUGUUCGGUUCCCCCUUUUCCGGCGAGGCACAGGUAAGGCCUUUCUUUGUUUUUCUUUUUUUUUGUAGUAUAUAAAGUAAAAAAACAGAAAAAAAAAAGAUUCGAACACCCAAAAAAUAACCUUUUCCUUUCUUCUUUUUUUCAAAAGGGCCGAACCCUACUUACAGUGAUUCGAAUAGUUUUAUAUAACCUUUUACAAGCUUUUGUUUCUAUUUUUUUACUCUAUUUUUGCUUCUUAAUGUUGCAUGUUUGCAGGUGGAGCAAAUGAGGACUGAUGUGAUCGUGGCGGUGAAAGUGGCAGUGGCAGAGCAAGUGGCCGACUUCGGCAGAGGCUAGGUGCGACGAUGACAAAAGACCAAGGGUCAGAAGACCCUAGGUGCGGUGCCUAGGGUUCUUUUGCUAGGUUUUUUUUUUCUUUUUUCUUUUUUUGGAUUUGGGCCAUUCGGGUUUUGGGCUUAGGUUUGGGUCUGGGUAGUUGGGUAUUGGCUUUGUAAUUGGGCCCCGGGUCAAAAUUGGGCCCUACAAGGGAAAUUAGAAAAUUUCAAAAGAAAUCUAAGAAGCAAAUUAGAAUUUACUAAAGGUGGCUUAAGAUCUUUUUCCUUUCAUUACUUUUCUUUUCUGUGGUUUAUUCAUUGUGUGUAAAAAAAAAAAGUAAAGAGGCGAGGGAUCUUACCCUGGUGACUGGGCCGUUGAAGCUCACGUCCUCCUCUGAUCUAAUUGGAGUUGGGGGCAGAGAACGGCAGAUUGGAAAAGGGCGAAACCCUUAGGUUUUUCUCUGGUUUUUUUUUCUUUUCUAUUUUGAAAUAGCAAAUAAGUGUUUUUAGUUUUUUUGGGGGGGGGUUUAUAACUUCUGUGAAACGACGUCAUUUGAGGCCUGCUAGACUCAAAACGAUGUUGUAUAAGGCCUACGACCCGAGAUCUGACCCGUCCACCCUCAGGAUCCGCGUGUUUCUGUCGUGAAGGAGAUAUUCGCAUGCCAGGCCCCUUCUCUUUUGCGCUGUGGCAAUCUAGCCCAUUUUAUUUCUUUAAUUGUGGCCGCAUGAUUUCCUAUUAGUUUCAUUUUGGUCCAUGAUGAAACGCUGCGUUUUAGGGCUGGGGAUAUUUUUCUAUUUAGUCCCCAUGUUAUUCGCGCGUUCCCUUUUUGGCCUUCAAUUUUAUUUUAUUUACUUUUUUCCCUUUUGAAUUUUGAAUUAAAUACAAUUUAAUUCGUACUUGUUUAAUUUAAUGUACUCGACUUUUAUUUUGUUUAAAAUUCAUUUAAAAAAUAUAUUUAAUUUUAAAUCUAACAUUAUUUUUAUGUUUAAGCUUAAUAUAUUUUUUAUCAUCAAUAUUAUUUUAAUUUAUAAUAUAUUAUUAUUUUAAAUUUAUCAUUAACAUUUUUUUAAUUUUAUCAUGUAUUAUUAUUUUGAACUUAUCAUCUAUGAUUAUUUAAAUUUAUCAUGUAUUAUUUUAUGCAUUCUUGUUGUAAAUUCAAUAUAAUUUGUAUUUAUUCUUUAACGCUUUAUUUCAAUUAUAAAAUCCUCUUUAUAUAUAUUGCUAUGUUUUAAAAUUUAUAUAAUAAUAACUCUCAUAUAAUACUAUUUUAUAUAUACAUACAUAGUUUAUAUUAAAUUUUUCAUUUUAUAUAUAUUAUUGAUUUCAUAUUAUUAUUUUUUAUUUAUUUUUAUUUAUAUAUAAUUUAGUUCUUUUAAAAACUUAUUUUAUUAUAUUUUACUUAUUUCAACUUUUUACCUAUAUCGUUAUGUAUAUAUUAUUAUAUAUAUUGAGUUUUUCAUUCCAUAUAUUACUUAUUAGAUAAAUAUGUAUGUAUAUUAUUUUGAUUUUCUUUUUAUACAAUAUUUAUUUUAAAAUUCAUUUAGAUAUUAUCAUUUCACAUGGUAUUUAUUUUUAUCUUCAUUUUUAAUCUAUUUCAAACUUUCUUAUAUAUAUUAUUUAUUUUAAAAUUUUUAUAUAUACAAUUUAUUGAUUAUAAUUGCCUUUCUUUCACGCUAUUCGUUUCUUUAGUUAUUUUAAAACUAGUAUAUUUUGUUUGUGCUUGUGUUAAUCGGCUUGUUUUUUUAAUUAAUUAGCUUUCAAAUAUUAAGGUUGGUAUUUACAUAAUAUGCGAUGUGAGAUUAUUGCUCUUGUGUAUUGUAUUACUUAUUUGUAUUUAUUGAUUAUUUGUGGUUCAUUACAGUACAUUUUGGUUUACAAAUUAUCGCUUUGCAUUGUACAUUAUUAUUCCAUCGCACUUUAUUCGCUCAAAAAGUUACGUUUAAUAUGGUUUAAGUUUUGAAAUCAUUUUAUCCAAAAGCUUCUAAGAUAGCAUAACAUUCGGUGUUUGGGAUUUUCGAAAAGAUUGUACCUUAACUUACGGGGUCUCGAUUUUUUGAUAAUUUCAAAUAUACGAACCUUUUUUAAAAUAAAAAAACACGUUUUCUUAAAAUUAUCUCGGGAAUCAGAAAAGGACCGUGUUCCAACUUACGGGAUAUGAUUUCUUUUUCGAAACCGAGAUGAUCAAAAUUUCUAAAAAUAAAUAAAUCUUUUGAUGUUUAUUCUCAUUUCGGAAUUUCAGAUAUUGUGUCCUAACUUACGGGAUAUAAUUCUUUUUCUCGAUUAACGAGAAGAGCACCCUUCCUUAAAUUUUUAAGUGAUUUUAAAAGGAUCAUAUUUUUAAAUUUCUUUCCAAAUUUUUAAUUUUUCGACAUUAAGACAUUAAUUAAUUGAUUAAGUACCAAUUUUGGGAAUGACAAGGGUGCUAAUCCUUCCUCACAUGUAACUGACGCCUGAACCCGUUUUUUCUUGAAUUUCGUAAACCAAAAUUAUUAUUUUAAUAAAAUCAAAACAUUUUAUCAAAACAAUUGAAUUGCAAGGUGAUCUGAUCACACCUCAAAAAAUGUUGGUAGUGACUACCUUUUUUUUAAUUUUCAAAAUAAAAGUCAACUCUAUUUUUGUUUUCAAAAAAUGGUUUCGACAGGGAGUAUAGAAUGUGAUUCGCUUGUUGUAUUGUGGAUUAAAAACUACGUUUAUAUUUUAACGGGACAAAUUGAUUAACUCGAGUGAUUAGUUUGAAUAAUUAUUUUAAUGAAAAUAACUAAAUUUGAGAAAAAAAUUAGAGUGACCAAAAUAGGACAAACGUAUUUUAGUGUGACCUUAGUGUAAUUUACCCUGAAAAAUAUCUUACUCCGUAGACUUGGUUAAGUUGACCUGCUUCUAAACAUUAUGUUUGGUUGAUAUAGGAAUAUAAAGAUAAAUUGAUUUAUUUUCAAUAGAAGUUGAAGUACUAUUCCUUAUCAAACUUUUGCUUUUCUUACUCAAAUUUCGUGCUUUCCAUUUUCUUUUCCUUCUAUUUUUCCUCCUUCUUUCAUGGAAACUUAUAUAUAAAAGUUUAUGAGUUAAAUAAAGUAGAAUUAAAGAUAAAUUGAUUUAUUUUCAAUCAAAGUUGAAGUAGUAUUUCUAUAAAAUAUCAACAUUUUGCUUUUCUUCUUCAAAUUCCGUCUUUUCCAUUACCUUUUCUUUCUUUUUUUCUCCUUUAGCUUUUAAGACCUAAAAAGUCUUAAAGAAUUUGGGAGUGAGGCUUUCUUCGUAGACUUCUGUUUGGCUCGGGUUUUCAAGUCUAUAUUCUUUUUUUCUCCUUUAGCUUUUAAGACCUAAAAAGUCUUAAAGAAUGUGGGAGUGGACUUUCUUCAUACACUUUUGUUUGGCUCUACUUUUUAACAUUUUGUGGAUAAUUAAAUUUCCAUUGGAAGAAACUUUUGGAAGAAACUUCCUUGCGCUUCAUGCAUUUUUGUGUUUUAGCUAAAGCUUACUCUAUAUAUUUGGAGUUGUGAGCCAUGGCAAUUGCAACCAUGACUACUCCUCUUCCUAUUUCCUUUUUCCCUAUUCUUCUUCUCAUUCCCGCUGUCUGUUUUACCAUUUGUCAUGCCAAUUCCAACCUACUUUGCAUUCAGAGUGAGAGAGAAGCUCUUUUGAAAUUCAAGCAUCAUCUUAUUGAUCCUUCAAACAGGCUAUCGUCAUGGGUUGAAGGUGGGGAUUGCUGUGAAUGGACUGGUGUCGUCUGCCAUAACUCCACAGGCCACGUCA